This 58515-nucleotide long non-coding RNA is filed under the name Ananas comosus (pineapple). RNAcentral describes it as "long non-coding RNA (ACOM_LNC020376)". The record is from RNAcentral. Lineage: Eukaryota; Viridiplantae; Streptophyta; Magnoliopsida; Poales; Bromeliaceae.
AAAGAAAAAAAAAAAAAAAAAGUCGGCCGGGGACUUUAAUGCGCGUAAUAUAUGAGUAAAUUGAUUCAGUGGCGGAGAGAAGAGGAGCGGCUGGAGAGCAGCGGAAUAAAUGCUGCGGUGCGGGUGGGAUCGGCUCGAGGCUGUUUCAGACGGAGGAGAAGGCGGAGGAUUUGAUGAGUGUUGGUGCUGCCAGCCUUUUCCUCUGGAAUGUGGCAGGCGUUGUUGCUGCGCCGCCCGACUCCUCCAAUAACACCUCCCACCACUCCAACCCUCUCUCUCUCUCUCUCUCUCUCUCUCUCUCUCUCUCUCUCUCNUAUUUUAGUAAAAAUUAUUUUACUAUUAUUUAAUUUUGGUGAAACAAAUUAAGAGCUUUCAAGUUGAAGGAUCAAACAAUAUGGUAGGGUAAGUAAUAAAGGGAGAAGCUCCAAAUUCCAAAACCGCCCCUUCCACCCGUCACCUUCUCAUCCUACGUGCACUACGUGUGCAUGGCUCACAUGCAUUGUCACUGCCUAUGUCACGCCACUCAACCCACCCCCCACCUCUCUCUCUCUCUCUCUCUCUCUCUCUCUCUCUCUCUCUCUCUCUCUCUCUCUUACUGUUGUUGCUUCUUCGAUCUUCUUCUCCCUUCUCUCUCGACAGCACUCUUUCGAGCCUCUGUAGUGACGUCUCUCUCUCUCUCCCUGUACUAACUAUUAUUAUGCGUCUCUUCUCUCUUCCUAUGAUUGAACAGAACAGAACAGAAUUAGUAGAAUAGAUUAGGAUAGGGAGCAGUCACCACUCACCAGCGGGGAUGGGGAGCAAGCGAAAAGAAGAGAGAGAGGGAUGGAUUCAGAUUCGGUUGGGAGAAAGAAGAAGAAGAAGAAGAAGAAGAAGAAGUUGAGAUGGGUGGAAAAACCAGUGGCGUUUUAUUAAGAGGGGAGGAGGGGAGGAGGCACACAGCACACUAUAUAGGCAAGGAUUAGGAUUUAGGAGGCUCUUCCUCCUUUGACUGCGAAAUCCACUUGGGUCAUUUCAUUUCCCUUCCAUCCCCCCCUCCCCUGCUUUCCUUUUUCUUGUGCUUGGUUUUUGUAUUGAAUGGAAUAAGACCCCCGGCCCCGGGCCGAGCUCAACUCUCAACGGCUCUAAACACCCAGGCCUCCCCUUUGCCAACAAUAAAUACUUCUUUUUUUUCUUCCUCUUCUUCUUAUUAUUAUUAUUAUUAUUAUUAUUAUUAUUAUUAUUAUUAUUAUUGUGGUUUUAUGAUUUCUUUUCUUUUCUUUCCAAGUGUUACUAUUUUAUUUGGCUUUAAUUAACUCCCUCCAGCUUCAAUCUCUUCUUUUAAUAAAAGCUCGGAUCCGCGUCCCACUUUCCGGGUUUGAACUCCAGACCGCAAUCAUCCAUAAUGCUCCUCCGUUUCUUACCAUGAUCAAGUAAUGGGGAUUCGGAGAAGCAUUAGGAAAAAAAAAUUUAAAAAAAAAAACCCCACCGUAAAUAAACUAUUAAAGAAGAAGAAGUCAAUAAUUAAGAAAUAAUAAUGGCCACAAUUAACUGACUUUGGGCCUUCCAUGUGAAAAAAAAAUGAUCUAACGAAUUUAAUGGCACUCUUAAUAAUAAUACCUAGGUUUAAAAAGCGCGAUACGGCUUUUAGGAGCCACUAAAUUCUGGGUGGGCCUGCCAUCCGAACGGUGAAGCGUGCGGCAAAUUACAAUCAUUUUUACAUUACCUUGCAAACAAUGAGCUUCUAGUUAGCAGCACAAGUUAACGGUACGAAUUUUUCAUUAAUUUCCUUCAGGGCAUGCUACCUUUUUUCAUUAAUUUUUCAUUAUUAUUAUUAUUAUUAUUAUUUUGAUCGACCCGCUCUAGAUUUCACUAUUGCUAAAUUUAUCUUAUCUAUAAAUGGAGCGGUAGUUUUUCAAAAAAAAAAAAAAAAUCCUUCAGGGCAAAAUCUAUUGAUAGUCUCUGAGAUAUUCCCCAUUAUCUGCUUGAUCUUUGCACUUUUCUUUUCAAUAUUUUUUAAAAAAUUAAAGUGUAAGAUAAUUUCCUAUGUAUAUUUAUAUGAAAAACUGAAAACCAUACCACAAUAAAUUCACAGUAAAAUUCAUGAAAAAAUGGAAAACUUUUUGUUGGUUAAAAUAAUAAGGCACAGUUUAUUGAUAAUAGGGGAAUUUGUACCUUGCAAUCUGCUCCCGACUAUCAAUAGUGCAUCGUCAAUUCCAUCUAAAAGUAAGAAUAGAGCACCGAGAGAGAAAAGAGCUAAACAGAUUAAAAGAAAACGAAAGGAUGAAAAUUAGGAAAUACAGUGUCUGUAGAAGAGAACUAGAAAAACAAGGAAAUUUAUGUACUAUAUAAUAUAUAUAUAUAUAAUUAUAUAUAUAUAUAUAUAUACUUAUAUAUUAUAUUAAACCUAAAUAAUAAUACAUAUAUAGAGAAAGGUUAUUUGGCAUUAAAUAAGGAGGAGAAUGGAGCGAGUAGCUCAUUACUUUUCUUAAAAAAAAAAAAAAAUAAAAGCAAAAAAAAAAAGAGAGGAGGAGAAUGAUAUGAAUAUCUCUAAGAUCAUGAAUAUCCACUAAAGAUGACUUCAUCAUUUUAUAUUCUAAAUUAUGCGUAAUGAAUUAUGAUAAGAGUUUCUCAAAAAAAAAAAAAUUAUGAUAAGAGAAUGAGCAAUUAGACCACAACUUUGGGUCCCCGCGGAUGCUAUAUAGUGUAGUAAUGGAUUUAUUGAUGUAUCUGCUUUUAUAAUUCAGAUAGAAAUUCAAAAUUUUUCCUUUUGAUUAGCUCAUGCACAUUAUUGAAGGUAUUACAGAAAAUUUUCAAAUACAUAAAUAAAUCUUUACGGACAUUUUACCAAAAACUUUAGUAUUUCCUUGAAUAAAAAUAUUCACCGCAUUUGCACUCAUAUUUGUCUUAUCCACCGGCUUUCGUUUAUUUUUGUUGCAUUGCGGUUAUCAUUCAAUCAAACUAUUUCCAAAAAUUAUCUAAAUUUAUUGAACUCUUUUCUAGACUUUUAACUUUUCAGUCUUUCAUUUUUUUUUUUUAGGCUGUCAAAUUAAUGGACGUUUGGCAAACUAACAUUUUUGUUCAAACAUUUCAUUUUUCAAUGAGUACAAAAUUUUAGUGAAAACAACUAGGAUCAAAUUGCAAUUUUUAGAUAGUACAACAACUAUCCAAAAUGGAUUUAAACGGGGCGGAAUAAUGACUACAAAUAUCCGUAUGAGGAUGUAGAAGGACACUAGCAUGGUAAAUCAUAUAAUUUGUUUACCAUUAUUUUUAUUAUUAUUUGGAGAUCAGCUGUUGUUACGGUCAACUAAAUUUCUAAGCUGAUUUAGAUAUUAGGUCUAUUCUAUUAGUAAAUUACGAAUGCAAUUGUACUGGCAAAUAUUAUUAGAUUAGAUGAUACUUUUCAUAUUUGAUUGUCUUAUCAAUUAAAAAUUUAUAUAGAUUCAGGAUCAUAAGUAAGAGUUUUCUAUUCUUCUGUAUUCAAUGAUUAGUCUUAUUACCACAGAAGAGUUUUUUUUCAUAUUGACUUCUACAGUUGACAAAAUUAGAAGGAUAGAUACAUUAGUUUCUUAAAAUUAUCAGGCAUUAGUUAGAAAGGGGUUAAUGUUAAUAUACAUGUCCACAUUAAAAUGUAUACCAAAUUAGAGAAAAUGUAUGUGUUAAAAAGAAAAAAGAAAGAAAAAAAAGAAUGUUAAAGUUGAGCAUAUUUUUGAAGUACUAGAUGAUGGUGCAACUCAUGUAUGUACGUAUCUAGAAAGGUAGAUACGAAUUCGGAUCCAACCCCAGAUACCUGAAAAGGGAUAUAUAUAUAGAGAGAGAGAGAGAGAAUUAGGCUGGAAUACUAUUAAUAGUAAAGCACUCUUUUUGCUAUCAAGUUUUUAACCCUUGGAUGAAAAAUUGUAGGGUCGUGAUGAUAUUAGUCGGUUAGAGUUGAGUGGUCCUCCUAAGGUUGAGUGGUCCCCACUGGGUUAUAGUAUUUAAUCUAAUGGUUAGAAAUAAUAAAAAUAGUUGAUCUAAAGGCUAAAAAACUGGUAGCAACAAUAAAAUUUUGCUACUAAUAGUAGCCCAGUCCAACUCUCUCUCUCUCUCUAUAUAUAUAUAUAUAGAACUGGUCUCCUAUACUAUCUAUAGUACCGGGACUCUGGUAUUAUAGUCUCGUUUUUUAUCUUAGGGUGUUCAAAUGAACGAUCCACACCGUUAAAACUAAUGUAAGGUAUUUAAAGUUUUUAAAAAUAAUAUUUUAUAUUUUUUCGAUAUAGUUUACUUUAUAAUCAAACCAUUUCAAAAUCGUCAAUUUUCAUUAACUACUAUGACGAAUUUGUAGUUUAAAGGUGUAGAAGAAUAUAAAUUUCUUCAAAUUUUAAUAAAAAAUACUUUAAACUAUUUAAAUUAAUGUUAACAUUCUUGAUCUUGAAUUUAAAAGCCAUAUGCUCAAAUUUUAAAGAUUAUUCAAUUUUUACCGUCCAUUUUGAAAUAAUUUAUUUACUAAGUAAACGAAGUUGAAAAAAACUAAAAUUUUAUUCCUGAGAACUUCAAAUACCCUAAAUCAUAUUUAACAGUGUUGAUCGUUAAUUUGAACACCCUAAGAUUGAAAACAAGACUAUAUUAACGAAGCUCCGAUACUAUUGAUAGUAUAGUAACCUAAUUCUAUAUAUAUAUAUAUAUAUAUAUCUNAUCUUACCUUCCAUUAGAAUGAGUUUUUAUUUAUUUUGAAAAGUCAACCGAUCUUACAUCUUAUCUUUUUAGGAUUAAGGGCCGAAGGCAUCCUUUAACCUUGGAACAGCGCUUGGUUUGGCACUCUUAGCUAAACAUCAAGUGAAUUUAAUAAUAUAUCGAAAAUUCGAACGCUAAUGGAGAUGCUGCUUAAACAGAUUAAAGAUGAGUUUGGAAUGAAAGAUAUGAUCAAUGUCCUAUCUAGCUCAAGCAAUAGUCUUUCGUUUGCUAUGUUAGAUUUCUCUUGGUAUGCAAUUAAGGAACGUAUUAUCACUCUGCAAAACAAUGGAUAUUUAUCACAUUAGGGAGGGCUGAGAUUUAUGAAGAAUCUGAUAGUCGUGAGGUAGUCGACUACAUAAACUCUCUAAAGAUGAAUCAACUUGCAACAGAACUUGAAAUCGAACUAGAGAGUCUACAGCUCAACAUGGAGGGCGAAAAUACACUAUUAUUUCCAGAACAACAUAGAACAGAGGUAUCCGUCUCACAAAGAUGGGUGUUUUGCAUGCUCGGAAUUAGUUUAGCUAAGCCUCGAUCCCCAUUGCAAGAAGGGUUGCCCCGUUAAUUCCUUACACAACCCCACGUUUGCCCCUUCAUUCGGGAUUGUGUCGGUUCGGUGCGGCCUCCUCUCUCCCUUCCCUGCCCCAACCACACCACACUCGCAUGCAGCUCCUUUGCAUUUUCAGUUUUGACCCACAGAUCUCAAUUAAUUCUUAUUUAUUAUUAUCACUAUUAUUACUAUCUUUUGAUUUCGAUGAACCCUUUGCUUCAAUCGUCUUCUUAGUUAGUUAAUUAAUUAAGCACCUCUCUUUCUAUCCUCAAUCAUUUUUCCUAGAUUAUUAUUAUUAUAAAUUAAUUCGUCAGAUGUGGCGCAGGUCGAUGCCCAACGUGGCCACUCGUGUUGCCCAAACGACGUCCAUAAUGCUUGGCAUUGUUUAGUGGUGCGGUAAUGAUUAAUAGCCGAAUUUGAACGCAAUGCCCAUGUUCACUAAGCUAUAGCUAGCUCGGGCCAUGUUCGAUCUCCUCCGCCCUCACUCCUCAGUCCUCACUCACCCUCCACAAAACCACGUGGCCCAUGCAUGCACCGACGUCCUAUAUAUAUAUAUAUGCUCGGCUUUGAACCUCAGCAUCGAUCUUAACCAAACAACGCUCGAUCCGCGGAGCACUUCAAAUCUAUUUUAGGGUGCAGAUACCAGAUGGUGGGUUUUGUGUUGUUCACUCUUGGUCGUAUAGGCGGGCUCUAAUAGGCUUAAUACGACGGGAUAAAUGGAAAUAAAGUAGUAAGCACUAACAAAAUACAGAUUCCUUAAUUUGUUGAGGAACAAAUGGCGUUUAAUUAAGUUGCUGGGGCCUUAAUUAAUUAAUUAGCUUUCUCCGCAUUACUUUCCUAAUCAACCUUUACUUUACUUCACUUUUUUAGGACGCCGUCGGGAAUCUCUCUAAUGGCGUGAGGUGGUGGGAGGGCCCCGCAUGCAUCACACUAAUUAAUAAAGACGCCAAACACCUUUCACACACACACACACACACACACACACACACACGCUCAGAGAAGAGAAGAUAAGGACGUACGUAAUUACCACGCCCACCCCGUCACGUGCCUUUUAACUUCACUUUCGACACUCAUGCCAUGUUUUCAUUUGGUAUUUAAUAAUUUAAAAAUACAUUCUGCAAACUAACUAAUGAGCGGUGAGACAGAUAUAUUCAAGCAUAAAGAAAAUUGAAAAAUGUAAAACUAUUGAGAAACCGCAUCUUAAUUUCUGAACCAACGCAUCUCUCAAUUUAUCUCUAUUGAAUGUGAAUGAGAACCGGGUACCUGAUGAUUGUGAUCAAUUGGUAUUAGUAAGGAGUAGGAGUAAAGGCCAUAACAAACAUGAUUGUAUUAAUUACAAGGUGUGACAUUGGCCCAAUUAGAUUGGAUUUAUGGGAGUGUGGGCAUGUCCUACGCUAAUCAACAGCGAUGAGUGGGGGUGCCCUUUAAAUUUCGUUUGGGUAAUGCAUGGACCCACCCAUAUCCCUUUUGGCGGUGGAGGAAAUCUAUUGCACUUCAUUAAAUACGGGUGACCCGAUUCCUUUAUUAACAACAAAAUAAAGAGGAAAGGUAAACAUAAUUAAUGUCGGGGCAUAACCUCCCAAAGGUGGCGGCUCCACUCUCUCAUCACAUGUACAUCGGAUUGAUGCCGAUAAUUAGCUAGCCAUAACCCCAUCUCGCCUACCUCCUCAUCUAGCUGCCAAGCUAAUUCUCGUGCUGUAACGAAUUUUAUUUUCAACUUAAUUAUUAUGUGAAGUCAAGUGCUAGCACACAACUAGGUUGGAUCGAGAUGGCAUAAUUCAACCAUAUCAUGUGAAUUAAGCUGAUUUGAAAUUGGUCGGACUAAUAGCAAGUCUGAGAGACUCCUCAACUUCGGACUACCUAGCUACUUGGUAUCUGGGCUAGCGAGACGUACUCUUUACGAUUACAUGAUCUUUUGAAAAGAGCGAGUCGUUGGGAGUACAUGGAGUUAAAUAGAGUGAAAAUUUUCAUAUGCAUAAAAGAAAGGAUCUUUCAACGCCCACUAUACUUUCAUUAAUGUUCUAAAUUUCUCUUAUGGUGACAAAUAUGAUACAAAGCGUCCCAAAUUUUGUCUAAUUUUCCGAUACUAGACUGUCACUAUUAUCAAGAACGCGCCCUUUUUUAUUCAGUACUCCUCUGACUUCAUUAGCUCGAACUAUGCAAAUUAAGUUGCUUGUAAAUCUUCUCGAGCUGUUGCCAGUGAGGAGCGCGCGUUAUCUUCCAACCCUGGCGACUCGGGAUCCAAUGUAUGGCCAUUGCACCGAGUCCGAGUUCGAACCAUCAUGUAUGACUCCCAAGCUUGCUCACUACGAUAUACAUAUAUUUAAUUCAGUUCCAAAUGACUUCAUCCAGCUUAAAUCCUGUGUAAGAGGUCUUAAUCUCGCAACCGACCAAUUGACUCUGAUUUCACAUAAAUAAAGUCAGUGACGAUUUUAUAUGAAAUUUCGAAGAAUGCAAUUUUUUUUUUUUUUUCCUAUUUCCAUGUCGAAGGAUGCAAUUCCAUUUUUGCUCAUUAUACCAUACACACUACCUCACAGUUUAUACUACAAUGCGUAAGUAUUACGACCUCUUGCAGCAGCUAGUCAACUCUUUUGCUAAUUGUGAAAUUAAACAAUAUACAUAAUCGAUCUCCAAACCAAUCGAAAGUCAACAGCCCUGUGCGGGUACUCGUACGAAAAUUAAGUUUAUUCAUCAAAUUGAAUAACUAACACGGCAAUUAGUCCGGGGACCUAGUAGAACCCUAUCUAUGUAUGGUCAAUUAUACAAAAUUGAUAUCCAAGCUAGGGAAACUAUAGAUGCAUUACUCUAUUAUUAAUUGAUAUGACCUGUUCGUUCUUUCCGGUCCUUUCAUCUUGGAGUGGACCCUCCAAAUGCAAGCUACCUCUCGAUCCAAUCAUCUAAUCCGUGCCGUUCUAAUUAAUUACCGUCGUUGAUCCGCCUCUCCCAAUUUACUGGGUAACAACAUGCAAACGCCCACGAGUUUUCCAGAAAUAUUUUCCUAUAAUUAAGUAAGCUAUUUGUACAUUAAUAAAUUGAUGUCUUACCAAUCGUCCCUAGAGCAAGUGGCAAAAAGUUUGGUGGUUAAUACCCGAGAUCUCCAAUUCGAAUCCUAAUUGAUUCAUAUUUUCAACUAAAUUUAUUUCUAAAUUAAAAUAAACAAAGCGAUUAGCGUGCUACCUAUCUCUCAAAAAAUAAAUAAAUAAAUAAAUUGAUGUCUUGAUUUAAACUAUAUAUAUAUAUAUAUAUAUAUAUAGAGAGAGAGAGAGAGAGAGAGAGAGAGAGAGAGAGAGAGAGAGAGAGAGGAUACUAUGCUAUCGGAAGCCCAGAGCCUUCCGUGCUCAGCUCGUUUUCGAUGUUGCGACUUUCGAAUCGUCGAUCGGCUUCCGUUAAACUUGAUCUAGAGCAUUUGAAGUACCUAGAAAUAAUUUUAUUAUUUUUCGAUAUCAUUUUGCCUAGUGAUCGAAUGGGCCUCAAAAUCAACAAAUUUUAAUGGCCGCAAUGAGCCGUUUGCAAGUUUAACGGUGUAGAAAUAUCCAAAUACCGUGAAAUUUUGAUAGAAAUAUUCUUUUCUAUAUAAACAAGAUCAAUAUCUUUAAUUAAAAUUUUAAUGUCAUAUUAUUCAUUUUGUAAGGUUUUUAUUUUCAGCCAUUGAUUUUGAGCCCCUUCGUUCACUAGGCAAAUGAUAUCGUAAAAUAUAAAUUUAUUUUCUAUGUACUUCAAAUGCUCUAAAUCAAGUUUAACGGAGCCGAUCGACGAUUUGAAAGUCGCAACAUCGAAAAACGAGCUCGAAAGCACGGAAGGUUCCGUGCUUCCGAUAGCAUAGUAGCCUCACUCUAUAUAUAUAUAUAUAUAUAUAUAUAUAUAGUUCGACUGAAAUAUUUUUAAUUACAUUUAUCAUUUUGUGCUAUCGAAUUUUUUCCUAUUAGAUCUACCACUGACUAUUCUACUCUAUUUAAUUAUACCGUUUCACCUCGAGCCACUUAUAUUUUAACUCUGCAAAUCUUUAUCUAAAUCCUCAAGAGACCGACCACCAUGACUUGAGAGCCUAUUAAAAAUAUUCCAACCCAAUUUACAUAUAUAUAUAUUAUAUAUUCUAUAUAUAUAUAUAUAUAUAUAGCUAGGGCUGGGUAUACUAUCGGUAGCACGGGGCCUCCGUGCUACCAAGUUGUUUUCAAUGAUACGGUUUCCAAAUCGACGACGGUUCUAUUAGACUUGAUCUAACUAUGUAAAGUAUAUUUGGAAAUUAAAUUUCAUAAUUUUCGACAUUGUUUGGUUAGUGAUCAACAAGGUCUCAAAAUUGAUAAUUUUAAUGGUAGAUUUGAUGCAUUUGUAAAUUUAACGGUAAUAAAACAAUCCAAUUCUGAUGAAAUUUAUAUAGAAAUUCUUUUCCCUAUUUAGAGUAAUGAUACGUAUCUCUGAUCUUAAAUUCAAAUAUUUUAUCAUCAUUUUUUAUGGUGAUUUAUUUCAGCCGUGUUAUUUUAGAUACUCGUUUGAUAGGUAAAUGAGUGCCGAAAAAUUAUGAAAUUUAGUUUCAAAUACUUUCAAUAGUGCAGAUCAAUCUAACGAGCACGAUCGUUGAUUUGGAAGCCGCAGCAUUAAAACAACUUGGUAGCACACGGAGGCCUCCGUGCUACCGAUAGUAUACAAGCCUAGCUCUCUCUUCUCUCUCUCUCUCUCUCUCUCUCUUUCUGUUAUAUAUAUAUAUAUAUAUACUAUAUUAUAUAUAUAUAUCUUAGAGUGAGGCUACUAUGCUAUCGGAAGCACGAGCCUUGCUGCUUCCAACUUGUUUUCGAUGUUGCGGCUUUCGAAUCGUCGAUCCGUCUUAAACUUGAUCUGAGUAUUUGAGAGUACCUAGAAAAUAAAUUUAUGAUUUUACGAUUCAUUUGCCUAGUGAACGAAGGGGCUCAAAAUCAACGGCUAAAUAAAAAUCUUACAAAAUGGUAAUUAUAUGAAAUUAAAAUUUUAAAUCAAGAUAUUGAUCUUGUUGUUAUUGUAUUAUAAAGAAUUUUCUAUCAAUUUCACGUGAUUUGGAUAUUUUCUACACCUGUUAAAUGCAAACGGCUCACUACGGCCAUUGAAAUUUGUGUGAUUAUUGAGCCAUUCGAUUACUAGGCAAUGAUAUCGAAAAAUAAUAAAAUUUUAUUUUCUAGGUACUUCAAAUGCUCUUGAUCAAGUUUAACGGAGCCGAUCGACGAUUCGAAAAUGCCACAUCGAAAACAAGCUGGAAGCACGGAAGGCUCCGUGCUUCGAUAGCAUAGUUCAGCCACUUUCUCUCUCUCUCUUCUCUCUCUCUCUAUAUAUAUUAUAUAUAUAGAAUUAGGUGGAAUACAUUAAUAGUAAACGCUUUUUUUGCUAUCAAUUUUUAACCCUUGGAUGAAAAUUAUUAGGUCGAGAUGAUAUUAGUCGGUUAGAGUUGAGUGGUCCCCCUAGGGUUGAGUGGUCCCCACUGGGUUAUAGUAUUUAAUCCAAUGGUUAAAAAUAAUGAAAAGAGUUGAUCCAAAGGCUAAAAAACUGGUAGCAACAAUGAGAUUUUGCUAUUAACAGUAGCCCAGCCCAACUUUCUCUCUCUCUAUGUAUAUAUAUAUAUAUAUAUAUAUAUAUGAAAUUAUCAACCGGCACAUCAGUAAUUCAUUUGAACAAUAUUAUAGAAAUUCAUAAUAAUAUUUUGAACAUUUUGACUUCAAUUUUCUUAGAAUGUAUUGACAUUCAAUUGGAAGAAUAACCGUCCUUCUGUAAGUCUUAUCACGAUUUCGAGAAGGCCAACAUCAAUAAAUGCUAGCGAAAAUCUUACUGCUUUCACUAUAAGUUACUGCAUGAUGAUUCACGUGCCCCAAAACUAGAUAUUUGAUAACCACUGGGAGAUUGACGGAAAAUAUAUCAAAUAUUUAAACAACUAUUGUUGCCGUUGAAGCAUAGUGUUUUACAUAAAAGUUGACUUUUCGUUAUAUAUGCUCGCUAAAAUGGUGAAGGUCGGAUGCAGGCCAUGGAUGGAGGCGGAGGGGAUGGUGAUCUGUCGGGGAGAGGUAGAAAGGAAUCUCCCUCAAUUCCUUUUUAUUAGGGAAAAUGUAAUUGAUGAUCUUUAAUUAAGGCAAUAAUUUCUUGAUUUGGGAGCAAAUCUUAAGAUUGGCCAAUCACAAGUAGCAACACCUGCCGUCGCCAAGGGAAUUGCUUCCGAUAUAAGUUUGGAAUUACUAUUCCACUCUUCUUUCUGUAACAAGUUUGUUCCUAAGUGAGAGCAUAAUUAAUUAAAAUUUAAAUUUUAUUUUAAUAAUAGCAUUAAAUCUAUAAUUAAACUAACUAAUAUAUUUAAAUGAUUAUCUAUUGCUUAAAUAAUAAAGUGAUUAUUUAAUUUAUUACUUAUAAUUAAUUAGCUAAUUAAUUAUUAAUACCUUAAUGUGUUUAUCCAUAAACUAAUAUUUAUACUGAUCAAUCAUUAAUAUUUUUAUUAAUCUAGUUAAUUUUUUUUACUAAUUAUCUAACUAAAAUAAUUUACUAACUAUUUAAAAAUUUACAUUAUUUUUUAUAAUUAAUUAAUUAAUAUAUUUUUAUUAUCUUACAUAAUAUUCAUAUCUAAUAAAUUUAUUAAUUUAUUAAUUUAUUUUAAUUCAUAUUUUGAUGUUAAUUAAUUAAAUAAAAUAUUUUUAAUUUAAAAUAAUAACUUUUUAUUCCUCUUGUUCUAAUCUAACCAUCUAAACAUUAUUUAUCAUAUUCAUAGAAACAAACUCAAUUUUUUUUCAAACGCAAAAUUAGUGAAGUUCCUACUUACAUCUGAACUUAUACCUAUUCUUGAUUAACAGUUCUUAUUUAUACUCGAACCAAACAUGGUCUUGAUAGUGUUUAGUUCGGGAAUAAGGAGAAAAAAUAAGUCCUUAUUCUCUCCCUUUGUUCCCAAAUACUAUUUUCGGUAUCCGAAAAUUGUAGUUCUUCUAUUCCUGGAUUAGACUCCAGUAUAACUUAUGAAUAGUUGUUCCAUCCUCCCUCUUGGAACAAGCCUGUUUCCAAGUGGAAACGACGUCAAUUAAAAUCUAAUCUAAUUUUAAUUAUAAUAUUAAAUUAUUAAUUAAUCUAUUUAGGGCGUGUAGGUAUUUGGUAUGUGGGAGUCCCAUUCCAAUUCCGAUUCCCGAGUGGAAUGGGAAUUCCCUAAUCACCUUUUUUUCCAAUCCGGCAUAGGAGGCCGGAUUGGAAGUUCAAUCUGGACGGAAUGGAUAUUUAUUCUGAUUAAAUCUAUUUUUUUUAAUUUUUUUAAUUAAAAUAUGAGUUUAAAUUUAGAAAUUAAAUUUAUAAUUUUAAAUUUGAAUUUGAAUUAAAAAUUAAAAUUUAAUCAAGUAUUUUUAAUCUAACUUAUAAAUUUGAAUUUAAAUUAAAUUUUAAUUUAUAUAAAGUUUUAUUCAAAUUUUAUUUAAACCUCAAAUUAAAUUUAUAGAUUCAAAUUAAAUUUUAAGUUUGAAUUUGAAUAAAUCAAAAUUAUUUUUAAAUUUUUAAUUAUCCACUCAGCUUCAAUUUUUAAUUUUUUAAAAAAAAAUUUAAAAUUUUGAUGUAAAUUUUUAAUAUUUAAUUUUCAAAUGAAUUUAAGUUAAUAUAUAAAAUAAAUGUAGGUAUAUUAAUUUGAUUACGUUUUUUAUAUCUAUCUGAACCAAACACCGACAAUGGGAAUGAUUUAUUCCGAUUCCGAUUCAGGUAACAAACCAAACAGAAUUAGGUAAUGAGUUAUUCCGAUUCCGAUUCCAGCUUGUUUCGAUUCCUGAUUCCGAUUCCGACUUCGAACCAAUCGCACCCUUAAUGUAUUUAAGUCAUUACCUAUUCCUUAAAGGAAUUAAUUGAUUUAUUACUAAUUAAAGAUUAAUAUUUUAAUCAAUUUAUUCUAAUAUUUACAUUGAUCAAUCACUAAUAUUUUGACUAUUUAUCUAACUAAAAUAAGUUACUAACUAAUUAAAAAGUUAGGUUAUUUUUUUUAUAAUUAAUUAAUUAAUUAACUAAUAUUUAUAUUUAUUAAUUAUUAUAAUAUUCAUAGCUAAUAAAUUUAUUAAUUUAUUAAAUUUUUUUUAAUUAAUAUUUUGAUGUUAAUUAAUUUGAUAAAAUAUUUUUAAUCUAAAAUUAUAACUCUCAUUCUUCUUAUUUCAAUAUAACUAUCCAAACACCAUUUACCUUAUUUUCAAAAAUAACCUAAUUUUUAUUCAAAUAUAAAAUUGAUCUAGUUUAGAUUUAUAUCUCAAUUUGUAUUUCUGAAAUAAAUAAUUUUUAUUUAUAACCGAAGCAAAUGCAACGUAAAGGUGGAGGGCACCUGGAUGAUAUAAGCCACUGAAAGGCUAAUGAGAGUAUGAGACCAAGAUUAGAAGGUUCCAACAUCUAGAUGUAGGACAAGUGGACCCAUACUCUACGGACCAAUCUAUCAGGGCCAAAUCCUUUUGUACUCAAAUUCGGUAGGCCAAAAUUGUACUACUAGUCUACUAUACCAUAAUUAAGGUUAUUUUUGAAUAUAUAAAUAUCUUAUUUGGCAUAUUCUUCUAAUUUAUUUAAAAUAUAUAUAAUGAUCGGUAGAUCAUAACUGUGAUUGAAUAUUUAAAAUUGAUAUUUGAAGUAAGAUAAUUUACUUUUUAACUGAAAUAUACUGUCCUACUAAAUUAUAUAUGCUAAGAUUUUUUAAGGGACAAAAAUCAAACAUCUACUAAUUUUCAAUCAAAUAAAAAAAUAUAUAUACAAAAUAAAUUAAUAUUAAAUAUAUUAUUGAAUAUCUUAUUUCAAUAUCCAACGGAAUCCAAGGGAGAUGGCAAGUAUAUUUUAUUAUUAAUAUCAUCUUUGGCUUGGAAGAAUAGUUAUUAAUUAUUAGCAGCUUGUAUCUCUCAAAAAAAAUUAUUAGCAGCUUGUGUUGACUGGACAACCAAAAAUGCUCUUUUGAAAUGAGAUAUUACCAGAAUUUAGCUGAUAUUUUGGUUCUUUUCUACUGGGAUAGAAGACAUAGGCAGAAUCAAGAUAGCGGGGAAAUGAUUUAGAUUGAUAAGGAUAGGAGUAUCUUGAAUAUAGGUGACGCGGCUAAGAAAGGGAAGGCGAAGAAGAAGAUAAACUAAAAUUCAUGCCCAAUUUGAUAUCAUUUGCCUAGGAAUCGGGUGCUCACUACUUUGCCACAUAUCCUGAUUAACACCAACCAAUUUUUACCAACUGUCCCUAGAGCAAGUGGCAAAAAGUUUGGUAGUUGGUAUCUGAGGUCCCAAGUUCGAAUUCUAGUUGAUUCAUAUUUCUAACUAAGUUUAUUUCUAAGUAAAAUAAAUGAAGUCCUUUUUUUUAAAAAAAAAGAAAAAAAAAUGAUACCAACCAAUUUUUUGUCUGCCUAGGUGAAUAAGAAGAAUUUCUUCCCAAGCCUUGAGAUCCUAUUAUUAUGUUCAAUAAAUAAUUGGUGCAAAAGAAUGAUACAUAUAAUUUAACCAAAAAAUGAAAUAUAAUGUUUGGUUCAGAACUACUGUUCAAACCGAAAUAUUUUUUUAAAAAAUAUCUGGUUUCAUAUAAAGUGCAUCUUGACCAUAUAUUCCAGUUUUACACAUUUUAGUUUCUAAAUUUUUUAUAUUAGAAAUUAUUUUUGAUACUCUUUUUUUUUUUAGUGAAACCAAACAUGACUAUAACAAUGAAUAAUCAAUCUAGUUCUCCCUCUACCAACCAAUUAUUUACCCCAGCUCCCAUGCAAAAUAUAUAUAUAUAUAUAGUUGAGUUAGGAUACUUAUAAAAAUAUCAAGAGAUUGGUGCUUCUAGAUUUGUAGCUUUUUUUUUUUUUAGAGAGAUAAGUAGCACGCUACCCGCCUCGUUUAUUUCAUUUAGAAAUGAACUUAGCUAGAAAUGUGAAUCAACUAGAAUUUGAACUUGGGUCUCGGAUACCAACCACCAAGUCCUUUGCCACUUGCUCUAAGGACGGCCGGUUAAAUUUGUAGCUCUUGAAUGGAGGUGUCGUAGGGUUAGGAUGAUAAUAGCCUACUUGAGUUAAGUGGUGGUAGGUGAUAUAGUAUUUGAUCCAAUAACUACUAUUAGUCAAAGAAUUGAUCUAAGAGUUAGAAAUUUAAAAACACUAAUAGAUUGGUAUUUUUAAAUAUAUAUAUAUAUAUAGAGAGAGAGAGAGAGAGAGAUUGACUGGACUACAAUCGGUAGUAAACUGCUCGGUUUACUACCGAUUUAUUUUUGAUGAUAGAGCUUCCAAAUCGACGAUCGGCACUGUUGAACAUGAUCUAAACCAUUUAAAUUAUUUAGAAAUCAAAUUUCAUGAUUUUUUGGCAUCACUAACUGAACGAUUAAAGGGUCACAAAAUCUAUAAUUUUAAUGGCCGAUAUGGUGCGUUUGCUCAUUUAACGGUAUGGAAGAGUUCAAAUCAACUAAAUUUUUGUUAAAAUUUUUUUUAAACUAUUUAAAAUAAGAUCUAGACUCUAGAUCUCAAAUAUAAAAAUUGUAUCAUCACUUUUUGAAGGAUAUUCAUUUCCGGCCAUUCAUUUUUCUGUUCACUUGAUGAACAAGAGAAUAAUAUCGAAAAUGUGUGAAAUUUGAUUUUCAGAUAGUUUAAAUAGUUUAGAUCAUGUAUAACGGUGCCGAUCACCAAUUUGGAAGCUCUAUCAUCGAAAAUAAAUCGAUAGUAAACCGCGCCGCUUACUACCGAUAGUAUUCUAGCAAAACUCUAUAGGCGUGUUUGGUUUGAAGUCGGAGUCGAAAUCGGAAUCGGAAUCAAAAUAAGCUGGAAUCGGAAUCGGAAUGACUCAUUACUUAAUUCUGUUUGGUUCAUCACCUGAAUCGGAAUCGAAAUAAAUCAUUCCCAUUGUCGGUGUUUGGUUCAGGUGGAUAUAAAAAACGUAACCAAAUUAAUAUACUAAUAUUGUCUUUAUGAUAUAUUAAUUUAAAUUCAAAUUAAAAAUUAAAUAUUAAAAAUUUACAUCAAAAUUUUGAAAUAAUGUCAAAAUUUUAAAUCUAUUUUUUUUAAAAAAAAUUAAACUUUGAAGUUGAGUGGAUAAUUUAAAAUAUGAAACUAAAUUUUGAUUUAUUCAAAUUCAAAUUUAAAAUUACAAUUUAAAUUUUAAUUUGAAUACAUAAAUUUAAUUUAAGUUUGAAAUAAAAUUUGAAUAACAUUUUAUAUAAAUUAAAAUUUAAUUUAAAUUCAAAUUCAUAAGUUAGAUUCGAAAUACUUGAUUAAAUUUUAAUUUUUAAUUUAAGUUCAAAUUAAAAUUUAAAAUUAUGUAGUUAAUUUUUAAAUUUUAACUCAUAGUUUAAUUAAAAAUUUUGAAAAAAUAAAUUUAAUCGGAAUAAAUAUCCAUUCCGUCCGGAUUCAACUUCCAAUCCGGCCUCCUAGGCCGGAUUGAAAAAAGAGGUGAUUGGAGGAUUCCCAUUCCACUCGGGAAUCGGAAUCGGAAUGGGACUCCCGCGUACCAAACAACGACAAACGGAUUCAUCCAUUCCGAUUCUGAUUCCAGAGUGAAAAAGAAGCGAACCAAACACGCCAUAUAUAUAUAUAUAGUCCGGUUGGAUUAUUAUCGAUAAUACGAAGCAUUUGAUAGCUAUAUAUAAUCCGGCUGAAAUAUUAUCGAUAACACGAAGCAUUUGGCGCUAUCAAGUUUUCUGCCGUUAGAUUUGCCUCUUUUAUCAUUUUCAUCUGUUCGAUUAUACUAUUCAACUAACCACCCACUCAACCCAAGGAGACCCACAUCAUUCUAACCGCACAUCUUUUAAUUUAAGAGCAGAAAACUUAAUAGCACAAAGUUAUUUGUGCUAUUAAUAGUAUUCUAGCAUAGUUAUAUAUAUAUAUAUAUAUAUAUAUAUAUAUAUAUAUAGAGUUCGGCUAUGAUGCUUGUAAAAGUACCAACUAUUUAGUGCUUGUAAAUUUUUUACCGUUAGAUCUACGCCUUUGAUCAUUUUCACCCGUUAGAUUAUACUAUUCAACCAACCACCCACUCAACCCUAGGGGGCAUCAUUCACUUAAGCCGCACAUCCCUUCAAUCCAAGGCGUUAAAAAAAUCUAACAACACCAAUGACUUGGUACUUUUAAAAGCAUAGGAGCUCAAUUACCAAUUAUAGUAAUUAUAUAUAUAUAUAUAUAUAUAUAUAUAUAUAUAUAUAUAUGGCGCGUUUGGCUUACAUUCUGGAAAAGUAAUUUUUGCAGAAUUGAUUUUGAUUUGGAGAAGUGAUUUUGGAUAGAAACUGUAGAGUGUUUGUCUGCGUUUAGAUAAAAGCGAUUUUUUCUGAAGUAAUUUUGUAAAUCUGUUAGGCAACUUUUUUUUGAUAUUUGCAAAAAUUAAUAUUUUUAUUAAACUUUAUUUAAAAUAAUUUAAAAUUUAAAUUUGAAUUAAAAUUAAAAUUUUUAAAUUUCAAAAUUGUACAAAAUUUAAAAUAUCAUAUUUUAAUUUAAAAAAUAAUUUUAAAUUAAAUUUUUAAUUUUAAAAUUUUGAAAUUUAUAAUUUGAAGAUUAAAACUUGUAAUUUUAAAUUUUAAAGUUUAAAAUUUUUAAAUUUAAAUUUUUAAAAUCUAAAAUGUCAAGUUUGAAAUUUUAUCGUAAAUUUUAGAUUUGAAAUUUGGAAUUUAAAAUUUAAAAUUUAAAAUUGUAAAAUUUGAGAUUUGAAAUUUAAAAUUUAAAAUUUAAAGUUUAAAAUCUAAAUUUUAAAUUUUAGAUUUGAAAAGUUGAAAUUUAAAAAUUGAAAUAUGAAUUUAAAAUUUUAAAUUCGAAUUAAAUUUAAAUUUAAACUUUGAAUCUAAAAUUAAAAUAAAAGCUUAAUGUUUGAGUCCAAAAUCGGAAUCAGAUUUAAAGAAUCAGCUUUUUUCUAUUUCUAAUUCUGUGACAUUUAAGAUUAAUUUUCUAAUUUUAAAAAAUAAAAUCAGAUUUUCUAGUACUUGCUAAAAAUGUUCUACUGAACCCAAAAUUAUAUUUGAAUUUAGAAUCAUUUUUCACUAGUAGGGCCAAACACCUUUGAGAUAGUCCCAAGAGGAGAGUGGACAUUAAUAAGAGACACCACCAUCUGAGGCCCACCCAUCCCUCGUCCUCUGCUCCACUACCAGCCUCUGUCUCCCUCUUGUCUCCCCUUGAGAGGGAUUUCGAAAAAGCUUGGAUGGACACAGCAGUAGCUUCGCUCAAGCUAUAUGACUCCAUUGAAUUAAUUUGAGAGAAAGAGAUAUAUAUAUAUACAUAGCUCGCAAAAAACACAACCCAGUGGGGAGAGAUCUCAUUCAUUAUGUGCUAGACUAGAUAUGUACAAUCCCAAGUGUGUAUGUAUGUAAUCUUCAGUGGUUAGCACCCAAAUUUGCAUCGAGUUCCAUCAAUCCUUUCGCUUUUGUUUACACAAAAUAUUAAAUUUGAUGAUGGGGAUUCGGAUCCAUGUGGCCACUAUUUGCGCAUUGCGCCCGCUGUUGCGAGGAGAGGUGAGAGGUGAAGAUCCCGGCCAGCCCUAAUGGUCCAGUCACUUGUGGAUCGCAACUCUUUUGUGCAUAGUCAAGGUCGAGUGGGUUUAAUUAAUUGAUGGGAGAAAGGCACAAAUAGAGGAGCCAUAGCCACAAUGCCACAUCCCAUUUCCAGCCCAAAAGAGGACACCCCACAUGAAGUGGGGGCCAAUUAAGAUACGGGGGAGGGGGAGCGGGAAAUAAAACACCAAGUUGGGAGUUAAUGCUCUCCCUUCAAUCAAACAAAUUGAUCGAUCUCUCUCUCUCUCUCUCUCUCUCUCUCUCUCUCUCUCUCUCUCUUUCUCUCUCUCUUAUUGGUGUCUCAAUCCUAGGAGGGUGUGGCAAAUUGAUCUCUCCCUCUCUCUCUCUCUCUCUCUCUUAUAUUUGGUGUCUCAAUCCUAGGAGGGUGUGGGUGGCUUCGGGUGAGCUGUUGUAUGUAAAUUUAGGUGCAUGGCCCAUCCCGGGUUAGGUGCCGCACUCGGAAAUUAACCUCACCAAACACCGACAAAUGAAAUACCCAACUCACUGUUUUGCAAAUGAAAAGCCCCAAUUAUUUUGUUUCAUUCCUUUCUUCUUUUCUAAUUUUUUUUUUUUUAAGAAAAAAGAAAUUUGACCCCAGUUAUUUGUUGCACGAGCUAGGCAUCUGCAGGUAGGAUCCUUGGAAGCUCUCUGAAUUCAAAAUCCUUGGAACCCGGAGAAGAUGAUGGAUCUUUCAGGAUGCUGGAGAUCAUGAAUUCGAUAUAAUAAUCCCGUUUGUUUGGUACUCAUGGAUCUAGUAAGACCAACUAAUUAAACUCAUUCGGACUCUUUGACUAUGUUUUUAGAAAAUAAUAAUAAUAAUAAUAAUAAAUGCAUAACGCGGUUUUUUUUUUAGGGGAUAUAUAAUCAUAUAUAACCAUUAUUACCUGUUUUCUUUCGGUUAUAUGCAUGUGAAUGUGCACUAAUGAAAUGAGCCAGCUGUUUUGGCCUAAAUCUAAAUACAUUCUAGCGUUCUACGUGAAUAUGAUACUAAGAAAGAUUCAAGCAAUUUUACCUGGGGCCAAAAAGAAUGAGGAGCCGUAGCAUUUACCCAAAUUCCACUGAUCUAAUUUCGAUAAACACACUCUACACUCCGUAGUGAAUUUAUCCCUUUGAGCUAUGUAGUAUUCUGAACAUUACCUCAUAUCUAUAUAUAUAUAUAUAUAUAUAUAUAUAUAUAUAUAUAUAUAGUGUAGAGCUACUCUGCUAUCAGAAGUAUAGAGGGUUUUAUACUUCCGACUUUUUGACCUUUAAAUAAAAAAUCGUACAGUUGGGAUGAUUGCGAUUUCCCCUAGGAUUGAGUAGUAUCCCUAGGGUUGAGUGGUCCCCACAAGGUAAUANGCAUUUACCCAAAUUCCACUGAUCUAAUUUCGAUAAACACACUCUACACUCCGUAGUGAAUUUAUCCCUUUGAGCUAUGUAGUAUUCUGAACAUUACCUCAUAUCUAUAUAUAUAUAUAUAUAUAUAUAUAUAUAUAUAUAUAUAUAUAUAUAACAUUAACGAGAGUUACACUACAUAUAUAGGACAGUGCUGCAUGCUGCAUUGUUUCGCACACAUUUGCUAAUUAAACGGUAGCAUAAGGCAGCUAGGGGGUCACAAAAUGAAGAAAACGAGCACAAAGGGGAAAUUGACCAUCAGAAGAACAGCAUGCUUGUAAAUGAUCAUUUUAACCACAGUUUUAAUUACAUUUCAGCGAUGUUAAAUAAUAAUAAAAAUAAAAACUACAUGUGCCGACACUAACGCCCUCGUUAGUAAUCAUCCUGAGGUCAUUCUCUGGAGAUGGAACUCUGGUAACAAUUUUACUGUCAAAUCAGUGUACUCACUCUUCAGGACAAGGGAUGUUAAAGAUAUAGUAACGCCUGCUAUUUGGAAGCUGAAAAUUCCGACAAAAGUUAAAAUCUUUCUUUGGUUAUCCUUAAAAAAGAGAUUACCUACUGUGGACAAUCUGAUUAAAAGGGGUUAGUUGGUCGGAAAACAACAUAUGUGUCUUAUGUGCCGACACUUUAGAAUGUGCAGAUCAUCUGUUGGUGGGAUGUGUUGUUAGCAGAUUCCUUUUUAUUUCCCUCCUUGAUGUCCCUCACGCUCUUACCUCCAUGGAGGAUGUCAAUACCGUUUGGGAGGCGCCGGCAAGGAUGGGGGCACAGGGCGACACCGCAUUGACCUCGAUUCUUGUGGCGACCAUUUGGUAGACGAUUUGGUGCGAGAAAAAUAAUGUUAUUUUUCGGAACCUCCAAAUGGAUGCUAUCUCUUCUGCUCGCCGUAUUGGACUUUUGGUGAAGGAGUGGGCGGAGUUCUGUAGAGUUGGGUGAAGCUGGUAAAGCUGGUGUUAGUCAUAUCCUCCGUUUUCGUUGCUUUUUUUGUUGCUAUCUCUUUUUCUAUACUAGGUUAUUCUUUUUUUGUUACUUUUUCUCCUGUUUUUUCGCUCUCUCGAGGUCUCGACUGUCUCACUCUAUGUAGUUUAAUUCAUUUUCUUUAUGAAUGAAACAGGUAGCAUACUACCUUUCUCUCUCUCUCUCUCCCUCUCAAAAAAAAAAAAAAAAAAAAAAAAAAAAAAAAAAAAACUACAUGUUAGCUCGCUUCCUGUCGCACCUGUCAAAGUGGCCACUCGGGGUCCCUCCUCCAUUCUCUACGGACAACGAAACGACGCUCCCUGAUUCUGAUAUUUUCCGAGAAACCUGAACACAAAACAAACCCCGAAACUCCCUAGCGAACGACCCAUACCUGUAUAAUACCAAUCGACGUUUGGUAAGGGGCAAAAAAAACAAAAAAGAAAAAAAGAAAACAAAAGAAAACAAACAAUCAAACAAAUAAAAAGGAAAUUAGAGUACCAAAAACAAGGAUUAAUUAAUUAUUACAUUAAACAAACAAAAGCAGUAUUGAAAUAUACGCGUACGAACGGGAGUGUGAAUGGGAAUUGAGCGAGUCCCUUGCCUAACCAUCUACCUAACAACCGUACCUACCCGUCCUAGUCAAUUUGAUGCCGAGUGAUCUUUAUGAGCUGUAACCAUGAUUUCCGGUCCUUGCCAUGGACCCAUCCGCGACUAACCCCUCGGAACUCGAAACUUGGAACUCUAAUUUGGAAUAUUUCCCCUUUUAACGCUAGCUAGUUUAUAAUUUUACAAACGUAUAAUAAUUGUUUAUCGUGCCAAACUCAUCAUCAUAACGAUCGAGAUUCACUUCUCGAUCCUGAUAAGAUUAAUUAAUAAACCCGGCCUAUUUAAUUUAGCUCGUACGGUUGCAAGGAGGUGCUUGACAAAACUAAGCUACCUAGCUAGCUAGCUAGCUAACACUCGGGCUCAGCAAGCGGUUGGGUUCGAACCGAGUUUAAUUCCGAUCGAGCUCAACUGGGAGCCAUGCCCAUGCAGGCUAUACCCGAUCAAUGAUAUAAAUGAGAUGGGAAAGCUGGACCAACAGUGGACCAUCUCUUACUUUCAUUAGCUGAUGUGCACGGUAAUAUAUAUAUAUAUAAAAUAUAGGAGAUGAUAUACACAGCAUGCAUGUAAACUAGCUAAGAAAUUAAAGAUAUGAACAAUCCAGAUCGAGCCUUUCAAUUUUCAAAUAAUUCGCAGUCGUUACGACCGAACCAAAUGCGUUUGGCAUCUCGACACAAGUGAUGUUGUGCAACAAACCUAUGGCAAUCCAGGCCAUUAAUUAGCCCUGACGACUAGUUGAGCUCAAAUUAUUAAAGCAUGACAAAACCAUCUCAACUAAUUAUUGCGACAAUUCUUUAGCGCUCCGCGGAACUUCCACUACACUAACCACUACUUGCAGGCUGCUAAAUUUCUAAAAUUCAACACUUAAUUACUAGCUACAUUGACCUCUCUCUCUCUCUCUCUCUCUCUCUCUCUCUCUCUCUCUCUCUCUAUAUAUAUAUAUAUAUAUAUAUAUAUAUUAUAAUGAAGAAUUCUGAUGCGCGACACUGUAACUGUGAUUUGAUUUGAUCAGCUGCAAUCGUAUAUUUUGCACUAGAACUGGCGGGAGUGGCAAUAGGUUGAUCUUUUCGCUAUUUAGCCGCAACAAUGAUAAGAACAUCUCAGGCUGACAUACAUCGAUCUUAUUUCCUUCACCUAAUAUUGAAGGUGAUGCUAAUGAAAGAGCGCACAAUGCAAAGGAGUUAUCCGAUCUCGUUAAAGAGUCGGCAGCUUGCGUGACUCCUAUUCUUUUUUCUUUUUUUUUUUUUCUGAGAGACAGCUAGGUAGUAUGCUAUCUGCUUCGUUUAUUUUAUUUUAAAAAUAAAUUUAGCUGAAAAUGUGAAUGAACUAGAAUUCGAAUUUGGAACCUCGGAUACCAACUACCAAAUUUUUUGGAAUUCGAAUUUGGAACCUCGGAUACCAACUACCAAAUUUUUUGCCACUUGCGCUAAGGACGGUUAGUCGUGACCACUAUUUUUGAGUAGAACUAGCUGUUUGAAAGUAGCCAUAGCAGCUUUCUCAUAUUGUCGACCACCGUAGCAAUGUUUUGAAAGUCCAGAAUAAUAUCAGAUAGAAUAGUGCUAUGCUAGAGUCUGGGAUGACAUGGCUCAAAAGAUGUGGCUUGUCUAUACUCUAUACUUGAUAGCAAAAGCUAGCUUAUCGGUGUGAGGUAUUCGAUCAGAUCCCACUUUUACUAGUGGGUUCCUAAGAAUUAAUCCAUCAGAGCUUUUCCAGUGCACAAACUGAGCCACUCGUGGGCUUGGUUACUGUCGAAUCCAUCCACCCAAGAUGCCUGCUAAUAUUUGCACGCAACUCAUGAUCUCUUUCAAAAUGACUUCUCAUCCUGCUACGGCCUAAUGUCUUAUCUUAAUCUAUCUCUCUCUCUCUUUCUCCUUUUUUUUUUUUUUUGUUCCUUCUUUUUUUCCCCUAAUACUGGGGGGACCGCAUUUGGUAGGCCAAUUUAACCUAGGUCGAUACGAAAAUUCGGAGUGCGACAUGGCACCCUCCUCUGAGUUAGGUGCGCAUCGGCAUGACGCUUUCACGCGCGCGAAGGUGCCCACCUAAUUUUGUCACCCCCGCUCUUUCCUCUGACGUUUUUUUUUUUUUUUUUUUUUUUUUUUUUUUUUUUUUUUCUCUCUCGCUCUUCUUUCGAAAUAAGCUUGAAUUGGAGCUGUAGAGAAUGGGCGUAGUGAUGAUAUAGAGGAUGUAGCUGGACGGGCUUGUUCGUUCAAAGAAAAGCAGAAGAGGAAAAUGAAAGUGAUUAAGAGAGAGAGAACACCGAAGAGAGAGGGAGGGAGGGAGGGAGGGGGUAGGUGUCAAUUCGUUAGGAUCCGUAAAGUUGGUCUUUGUAACGUGAAUUUCAUGUAAGAAAAAAUACCUUCCAAUAAAAGAAAGCUACACAUCAUGCAUCAUCCUAAGCAAGAGGAGACAUUUUUCGUAAAUCUGAUUUCAGUACCGAGAGAUAGAUUCAUUUAAUGUGGUGUUAUUAACCGAUUCGAUUCGAUUAAUUUAAUAUCAUCCCUUUUGAAGCAUGUAUUUGAAAUUAUCUAUCAAAUUGUCCUUAAUAAGUCAGGCAUCUCUCCCUAUUUAUAAGAUCUGAAAGGACUCGCUCUCUACGCCGCGCUGUCAUAGUAGGUCGAAUUCGCCAAUCUUAAAAGAGAGGAAGAUGUCCCGUGAUUGCGACCUUGGCAAAUCUAAGAUACGAACCCAAUAAUUUGGCCUUGGAUGCAUCCUAACAUCGCAUAGUUCCUAGCUGCUGUUAUUUGGCCGUGGGGCACGCAAGUCGCUCGGAAGAUUCCAAACUUUGGGUUCAAUCCCUUGGUUUGGUCGCCUGCCCGAUACUAUUAGUCAAACAAAGUAAUAGUAGCCUUUACUUUCUCUAAUUUUCUUCUUGUAAACCUCUGUUUAUCUGUCUCCGUACGAUCUUAUUGAACCCAGAAGAAUUGCAAGAUACCUAAUUUCUUUUUCUUUUUCUUUUUCUUUUUCUUUUUUUUUUAAAAAAAAAAAGAAGAAAAUUGCCGGGAGAACCACUAAACAAUAAAGCGCUGCUGUUGGAACGGACUGGGCCAGCCGGCCCAUGAAAAGCCUUUCGGCCCAAGGCCGGAAGAGUAACGUGGGUACAGCGUCGGACCUUCUGGUGCCCGAUUGCAGGAGCCAGGCCUCGGUCAUGGGUCAUGGGUCAUGGGUCAUGGGUGUGGCCCCAGAGGAGGCUGCCAUUGGGAUGGGCCGUUCACUGGGCCAUUACCUCCCCACUAAAUGCAUGUUGCUCGACGUCUCUAGAUGCUGCGUGGCCUGUCAGCGGGUGCCGAUCAUUUUCUCAUGGGCUUUUUUUGCAUUUAGCCCUCCGAAGAAUUUUUAUUUUAAAAGUCGCCCUAUCAAAAUUUAAUUUGCAAAAAUAGCCCUACUCCUGCCACGCAAGCGCCACGUCAGCGCCAUGCGGGCGGGGCUGGGGAUGGUAGUUAAGUUAAACACGGUAGACACGGUGAAUGAUUCACCGUGUUUAGUACGUAUUUUUUGUAGAGGAAUAGGAAGUUAGGGAUGUUAAUGGGGUAUGGAUAUUCAAAAUAUUAUUCGAAUCUAAACCCGAAUAAAUUAUUUUAUAUACAUAAUUUAUUUUUAUUUAUUUAUACAAUAUAUAAAAUAUUCAAUAAUUUUUAUUUCUUAGAUCUUCAUCCAAUCCAACGGUAUAAAAUAUCUAAUAAUUUUAAAAAUCUAUACCAUUGGAUUGGAUGAAGAUCUAAGAAAUAAAAAUUAUUAGAUAUUUUAUAUAUUGUAUAAAUAAAUAAAAAUAAAUUAUGUAUAUAUAUAAUUUAUACGGAUAGGUUCGAAUAAUAUUUUGGAUAUCCAUACCCCAUUAACAUUCCUAACUCUCUAGAAAAAAUACGUACUAAACACGGUGAACUAUUCACCGUGUUUGAACACGGUGAAUGGUUCACCGUGUUUAACUUAAUACACUGGCCCAUGCCCAACCCACGUGGCGCUGACGUGGCACCUGCGUGGCAGGUGCAAAGCCAUUUUUGCAAAUUAAAUUUUGAUAGGGCUAUUUUUAAAAUAAAAAUUUACUAGGGGACUAAAUGCAAAAAAAACCCUUUUCUCAUUCUCUCACUAAUUCUUUUCUUUUUCUUUUUCCUUUUCCUUGUUUUUCUGGGGUGGGGUUGUAAAAGUGUAUAGCUCUCACCGAAAAAUAUAACCUGUUUUGAUAUGAGUGUCUGAGCUUUAAGAAAAUUAAAUUCGUUCCGUGAGAUCCUGAAUUCCAUUCCCACCUUUGACACUUAAUGUGUUAAAUUUUGCAUUAUAUAAUGGAUUAAAUUCUCAACUCCUACCUCAUCUUUCAAACAGUAAAACCAACACACUGUUAUGACCCAUAUCAGAUAAAUGACUGAGGUACUGAAAAAAAAUGUAGUAUUAUACUACACUUAUUUGGAGGCAUGUCCUUUUGGAUCAGUUAAUGGCUAAUAUUCUUGGUUGCAGAUAUGAAAAAGAAAAAAAAUACAGUAAUGAAUAUGGCAGCCACUAUUCGUAUCCAACGGCUCAAUUGUUUUCUUUUUUCCUUCUUCGACUAAGAUUGAUGGUUUUGUAGUAGUUAAUAGACUGACCUGCCAGACAUUUUCAAAUGAUGCAACUGUUAGAAAGCACGAACCCAAAAAAAAAAAAAAAAAAAAAAACACCUCUGCAAAAUCAUGCAACUCCAGUAAAAGGUUCUUCAGAAAUGUAACUUCAGACAAGCUUUAAUUAUUAUUAUUUCAGCAGAAAAUUCCUUGAAGCGAGCCUUCGUGAGUUAAUAGAAUAUCAGACAGGAUGAUUUUUCAGAUUUAGAUCCUUCAUUUGUAAUGGAAAAUGAAUUGCUAUAACCAUGAAAAAAUAAAGCAAAAAUAUACCUUUCAUUCAGGUAUCCUUGUAAAAUAUUAAUGACGACAAGCCUGACAGAAGACGGCGGUAUCUGCAAAACAAUUGCAGAACAUAGGAGCAACUUACCAAAAGAAGCAAGAGUUGCAACAUUCGGAAGAAAAUUUACCAAACAAAAAAAAUCUAAAGGAAUCCUCCCAAAGGACCCAAACCUAACACAAAUAGAAUGCGGUGUAUCUUUACUUAGGUUCAUCGCUGCUCCAAGCAAUUUUGAAAGAAUCGGUUCCCCUGUACACAACAAUCUCAUUUAGUUCGCUUGGAUGCAAAGUAAAUUUGCUUGUUAAGGGAAGAGGCAAUUAUGUCUGCACCUUGAAAGCAAAAGUGAUGUCUGAACUGUCAAUUUGUAAUGUUACUCUCUUCAAUUUAUCUUCUUUAGACUUCCCCAGUUUGAGAAGUCCCUGCAUUGGAAUUCGUACCAUCACAAAUCUACUGCAUUGAAAAAAAAAAAAAAAAAAAAAAAAAAAAAAAAAAACCCUGCAGUUAAGCAUGUGUUUUGACCUGGUCGUUCAGCACUGUGCACAUGUUAGUGAACUCUAGCGUUCCCGCAGCAGGGACAUGAGCAGAUUUGCAAAUUUGUACAUACGAUCUGUUUAGCUGUGUUCCAUACAGUAAUUCAGUUUUAAGAAAACCGUGUCAGAAUUUGAAAGAAGAGAAAAAUGAUUGUACUAAGUGAAAAUAUCAUGGAAUACAGAGUACUUGUGUGCUGAAAUAUAUUUUUUAAAAUUGUUUUAUCUCAUCUAAGAUUUCAAAGGCAAUAUAUUGAAGGGAAGCAAAUUUACCUCCCCUAGAGUUGUAGCAUUCUUCUUAAACUGCUGAAAAAAAUUCACCAAGGCACAUAAUAUUAUCUGCAGAUGGAAAAAUAUAAAUAAGCUAUUUUUGUAUGGAAAACAGGAAAAAAAAAAACAAAAAGUCUAGUAGUACCCGCUUGAUAGCCUAGACAGUUGGUUCUACAAACCUAGAAAAUCACAAAAAUAUUAACCACAUUCCAUCAGGUGUUCCCCAGUUUGCUCACAGGAAAUAGAGAUUCCGCAUAGUGUUCAUGUAAUCAUUCAAUGGGAUGCCGUAAGUGACUUAGUCAAAUGAAGUUGCAAUUGACUAUGGUCAGUGGACCUAGUAAGUGGACUGUUCAAUAUUCUUAUAUAGUUCUGCUAACUGCAAUUCCAUGUUUCAUGAUUUGUUUUUUUUCCUUCGAAAUAUGUUGUUAAAUCUAGUUAUGCUGUCAAUUGGUUUGCAGCUGAAAAUAAUUCUACUGCGGUAAUAACCGAUUACUUGUCGAUGUCAGACAACUCUUAUAGACCAUCUUGGCAUAGUCAAGCAAAAGACAGAAAUUCUAUGAUGUUUAGUCCUCAAAAUUACCUGUUGGUGUUGUGGAAGAGAGUGUAUGGUAUUUAUAACAGUGGACUUGAAUGCCUUUGAUAUAGCAAUAUCCAUAUGAUCAAAUGUGACCUGCAAUGGAUUUCAAAGUAGUGUAGGAAACCACAAUUUCAAAUAUGUUACUAUUUCAGAAACAAUAUGGUCUGCAAUAAAUUUCAAAUAUGAGCAUGGUGUAGCAAAAUUAUUUGAUCUUUUAGUGUAGGCCACAACCAUUAUCUUGGAAUGAAGUAAAAGAUAAUGUUAGAAGAUCUGCUGUACUAUAUGCAAGCCAUUGUUUUCAGUUUCUGACACAGAAAUUAGCAGAUCUGCCAAAGAAGUGUGAUAAAACUAAGAAUGUGGUGCUAUUUGUUAUAGAGAAGAAGAACAUUGCAAAGUAAUACGAUUUUCUGAUGCAUUAUACAAAAUGACAUGAAGAUUCAGUGUGUAGCUCUUCAACCCAACUUCAGUUACGGUUAUUAAUGUUUGAUGUAAAAAUUAUUCAUAGGCAAUGAAGAACUGGACAAUCCAACUUACAAUAUUACAUUGUCCUUGUUUUGAAGGAUCUCUUAGCUCUUCUUCAAGCACCUCUAUUGCGCUCCUGGAAUGAGGUAAAAUGAUAAACCAUUUAGGCGUUAAAUCUGAUGAGUGGCAUGAAUUAUGGAACAUGAAAUUGCUUGGUCAGUUAGUCAAUUUGCCUUUAAUGUGAAACUGUAAUAUAUCAGUUUCACCAAUUGUCCAAUGUAUUCAAGGUAAAGAUGGUUAGAAUAGUGUUGAACUCCAAUGUGGAUAAUUAUUCAGAUUGUGCGGGACAUAAUUUGCAAGCUCAAAGAAGCUCCUGUCCGAAUUCAACAAAAAGUUUAGGCCAUAAUUUGUAAUUUAUAACUUUUAAUGAAGUUAUCGACCGUCCCUAGCGCAAGCGGCAAAGGGCUUGGUGGUUGGUACCCGAGGUCUCAAGUUCGAAUCCUAGUUGAUUCACAUUUCCAGCUAAGUUUAUUUCUAAAUGAAAUAAACGAAGCGGGUGGCAUGCUGCCUAUCUCUCUCAAAAAAAAACUUUUAAUGAAGUCCAUUGAGAAAACUUGGCAGGCAUUAGUUAUUGGUAGUGAAGACCCUCAAAUCAAUAAGAGGUAAAGUAACAGUUAAAUAAAAGUGCUAUUUGCAUUAACACUAUUACCUGCAAACACCAAGUGCUCUUCUCAUAUCUCCUGAGGCGGCUGCAACUUUCUGUAGUAAUCAUGAAAUAUCAAAGAAAGCAAUAUCAACGCAUGCCUGAGGACUAAACUCACAUGAUUAUGAAUACACAUCCUAGAUACAGACCAUAACAGAUACUUAUAAUUUGAUACAUUCAACUGAGGUUUGAUACUGCAAUGAAAAAUCAACUGAAGGAAUAAAAUUUUUGAAAAGUAACCGAGGAACUAAAAUAUGUUUAACAUCUAGCAAUCAAUUAAUUUUGGAAAACCCUAAUUCACUGUAGAAAAAAUAGUAAGCAGUUUUAAAAUUUUAGCGGUAGAGGCUAGCAAAUGGUGUAGGUUGUGAAAACCUCCUCCUAGGAAGUUGCCGAUUUUUUAAUUCAUCUGAAAAAAUAGAUAGAAUUCAACAUGAAAAUCCUACUUUUCCAUAUGGGCUUAUUAUCUGAGCAAGUAUACUGCAAAUAGAUGAGUUUUAAAUUGAAUCGCACUUAGGAAUCAUCAGAGGCGUAAUGGGCUAAUCACAACAUUUGAGUCAGUAAACGUAAAAUGAGAAUUAACAAAAAUUGAAAAAAUUGAGAUGAACUUACUCUAGCACAAAAUUCAAGAGCUAAAGGUUGGAAAACAUCAUAUCCAAGUACCUGCAAAAAGGUAUAAUUACUGUUAAGAAAAUUCUACCACCUUGAGAAGUAAAAUAGCAACAAAUUCUAUCUCAAGUAAACUAGCAAAUAUAAGUUUAAGAGUUUUUCAGCUAUAACAAGAGAAACUAUGAGCAUGAGAAUUACCAUAAGCCUCUGCUGAAUAAUUUUGAGUAUCUGAUCUUUCAAGUAAGCAUGGAAGGUUAUAACAAGAGGUUUACCUGCCAGAAGAUUAAGGGGAAUGUCAAGACCAUAGUUUGCAGUAAUUUUUUUGAAUGGUAUAAUUCAAGUAAUUUAAGAUACAUGGAUCAGCCUUCUGAUCAACAAUAUCCAGAUCGCAACAAGUUGUGGAUAAAGAGGAAAAUAGGAAAAGAAGAGUAAUAGCUUCUCAGCAUCUUACCAGAAAUUUAAGAUGAAGAAAAGGUUUGAGUACUCACAGUUUAAUGAUUCAAGCUUCGGAAGAAAUCGAUCUGCUAGGUCUAUAGCAUUUGCAAUUCCUUCGCAGAAAAAGCAAUAGUACUAAGAAUGAUUCAAAUAUCUGAAAGUUGCUAUAAAAAGAAUCCUAUGAAACUAGAUAGAUACUCCACGAGUAAGAAAUGAUAAUGAAGAGAGAGAAACUCACAAAUUUUACCUAUUAAUAUACAUCGGGAAAAUGGGAAAGUUGUAAGCAUGAAAAGAUUGUGAAGUACAGCUCUAUCUUUAGUUAUCAAGUAAUCCAUCUCAUCAACAACAAUCAGAUAUUUGAAUAAAAAAUGCCAUAUAUAUACAAAAAAAAAAAAAAAAAAAAGAGUUGUUCUAAAUAUCUAUUAAAGUGCUAGGGCGCUUGUAAAUCGAACAGUAAAGCACAAAAUGUAGGAUAAAAUUCUCACAUCAUCCUUCUGGGAGAUGAAUGACUCUGAGAAAAUAAACUCUGAAGAUGUUGAAGGGAUGAGAAACUACUAUUUGUCUUCAUCCGAGGGUAGAGCUUUGCAAGAAUCUGGAAUCAAAAGUUAUCAUUAGCAAUAAGACGGUUUAUACUGCAAUAGUUCAAAGCAUUUUCAUAUGUUAAAUAGUUACCGUGGUGAAGAUUUCGACUGUGUUGGUUAGAGAAGUACAAUUGAUGGCUAACACAUCUGGUAGUUCAUACCCUGCCUGUGAGUCAGAUUGGAACGGUACGAACUAGAGUGAGAAUAUUAAAUAUUUGAUCAAAAGAAAGAGUGGCUGCUCAAACAGAAUCGACAUUCCUAAAAGAAUAUGUACAGUAGCACUUUCAGCUAGUAGUAACAAUUACGUAUUUCUUGUCUCUUCACAAAACUCACCUACUUAUAAGCAAUACUUAAACGGAGGGGAUAAUAUACCUCCUUUGACCAAAGCAUUACAUUUUCCUUUACUCGGUCCAUGGACAAAGUUUUUCCAGUUCCGGGACACCCGCACACAUAUAAACUCCCGGCUCUCUCCUGCUCGAUGCAUGUCUUACAGAACUCAAAGAUCCUUUUCUGCUCCUCCUCGCGGCAUACGACAUUGCUGGGGGCCGUAGCCACGUGCAAUGCUUCUCUAACUGCUUGCAUCUGCGCCGGAUCUGUAUAAUAAAGGGAUCAAAGUCCAGAAUUUAUUAGAUUGAAACUUCGAUCAGAGCUCCUGAAGUCAUAUUUCUCUACCGAACUGCAGUUGCCUAUUAGUAAAUUUACACUGGCGAGGCAAAAGUCGACAUCUAUCGAACGAAUUUGGCCCGAUUAAAAGACUUGGCCGGGAGAGUUAAUCAGUCAGAGGAUUAAGAAGAAGAAAAGAAUUAAUUAAAAAAAGAAAAACUUCAAAGAAAAGAGAGACAGCGGAGAAGCAGGAGCCUGCCUGUGGGAUUCCACUUGGGCUUUUCUGAGAAUUGGUCGGAUAAUCUUUUCCUCGGAGACUUUGGAGAACACAAGAGCUCGCCUUUGGAAACUUUGCCAUUGCCCUGCCAAAUCCAAAUCCGAUAACAAAGCUUACAUUGCACCCCUCCACAAAAUGAAUAUAAAAUAAAAUAGAAGCAGAAUAAGAAGGGGGGGAAAAAAAAAAAGAAAGAAAAAAACACCCUAGAUUUGGUGUGCUGGGGAAGGGAAGGGAGAUCACAUUUGCAUUGGAGGAGGUGGAUCUCCGAUUCGCAGGGGAAUGGGUUUUAAUCGGAGUCCCGUCGUCGGUGCUGUGAGAUCUCGCUCGCUUCUUGUUCGCGGUGGAGCUCCCUUUGCCAUCCGUUUUUCCCAUGGCAGGGGAAGCGAUGGGCGACGAUGGGAGAAGCGUUUCUGAGCUUCUGAGAGUCGGCAUUGUGGAGAUUGCUACGUCGGGAAAGAGCUCGAAGCAGCGCGUGGGGUUCCUCGUUCUCUGCAAUGGAACAGAAGGAUCGAGAAGGGAGGCCGGGGGCGAAGAAGGAGGGGUUGUUUUGCGCGGGAAAUGGAUGGCGCGGUGAUUUCUCCCGCCAUGGUUAUUGCCGCUACCGGGCGCCGAGUGAUUGAGAGGCCCGGCCCUCGGACCGGAAUUGGGCCUCUACCGACAAGGCCCGCCUUGAGAUAUUAGCCCAUAAAAGCGUGCUCUCGUUGGGCUUCGGACGUGAUUGCGAAAAUAUAUCGUUAGAUUUUUUUUUUUUUCUAAAAAAAAUACUCUCCUCUAGAUUAUUUCUUUCAUUACGGUGACGAUAUUUUGACAGGAUAUUUUUUACACAUCCACGAGCUCACAAAUAUCUAAAAACAAACGCCGCGGUGCUCUCGUGUCCUUUUUAGUUUUCUGAUAUGCUUUCUCCAAGCUUGAUUUUUAUGAAUAAUAUAAUAUUAGAGCCAAUCCUAUGCCGUCUCUAUUUCAAUGAUGGUCCACUACAGUAACAGAAAGUAUUUGUUGUAAUUAAGUAAUUAAUUAAUUAAUUAAGCUGUCCUUUGUACUUGGCAAUCCAGCUCCUUCUCAACGGAUGGAGGAUAAGCUCAUUGGAAAAGUCCGUAGAUGGUAUGCCUGACGAGGGUUGCGUGGGUCAAUCGAGCUGGCGCGAGUCAGACGUUCGAGAUCGUUUGGGCUACGAAAAAAUCUGCUAGUUUGACCAGAGAGAUCCUGAUGGGCCCGUUGGCUUAAUGGUAGCACAACCACGCACAUACAGUUGUGAUAGGUUCAUUGGUGGAUUAAUCCCGUUCGGUCGGGUCUACAAAAGAAAAGCAUGGGUCAUCAGUGCCGCUGAAUGGAAGGACCAAAACCAAUACGUGCAAGCAAUGUGAAUGGAAGCCGUCUACUUACAAAGUGGAGAAUUAUUAUUUUACCUUUCAACUCCUGUACUGUAUUAUGUGAACCAUCUAUCAUAUGUCGUGCAUGUUCCGAUAUAUGCUUUUCAAUUACCGUAAAAUACAAUACUUUUUUUCUUUUCUCUUAAUUAGAAAAGAUUGCCGCUUAGUUGACGGUGAGUUUUGAAGUUUUAAAAAAUAACUAAUAAUAAUUAGGAUAAUUUUCGCAUUACCUUCGGAUUGGACACGUGGCAUGUAAUUCACGACAUUUAGCUAAUGUGAUUUUUAGUAUCUCUCUCUCUCUCUCUCUCUCUCAUCAUAAGAAUUGAGUUUGUGUUCCACCCAAUACCCACCCAAACACACCUGGUGCAGCAAUGAUUUCCAUAUCGCUAACGUUGUAAGUUGUUUAUUACUAACUACCACCAAUCAAACAGUUUUUGCCGCGCACAUAAAUCCUCCAACCUGGCGAGAAGCAUGGGCUCGGCCCCUGGGCAUGCGCGGCCCAUGUGACUCCCAUGCAUUCCGUCUCAGGGCUCGGACCCAGCAUCGCACGUGACGCGCCGCGUUCGCCCAGUUGGCACGCCUAAAUACCUUCCCUUUGGCCCUCAUUUUUACAGCCAGACGCCGACAGACACGUGUCACUUCCUACCCGUCCCAUUCUGCGGCGCCGUGAUAGGUGCGGUUGGACGCGGUAGAUGCGGACCCGUUCCCUCUGUUUUCUUCCAGUAGACUACUGGUUCCUCCGACCGGUAAAACAUGUAGGAGAGGAUGAGUCAAACAUAUUUUCCAAAGCUACUCUCCUCUUAUCCCCAAGGUUUGACAAGUAUCCAUGCGACUGUUCUCAUUCCAUAUGGCCUGUUCUAUAUUCAGGACAACAUGUGAUCUAAUAAGGUUUGUUGGCACGAUCCAAAAUAUCCAAUUCCAUAGCCCUGAGGCCUGAGACGAAGUAUUUAAUUUGCAGAUAUCUAGACUAUAUGCAGAGAGAGAGAGAGAGAGAGAGAGAGAGAGAGCGCGCGCGCGCGCGCUCGCGCUAUUAAUGGAGACGUGGUCCCAAUGCCACCUGCAUCAAUGACUCCAUCCAUAAAAAGCGAGGAGCCAUCCAUGUAGCAUGUGACUUGUGAUGGGCAGCGAGAUUUAAUUAAUAUCCAUCUAUCUCACGCUUGAGAUACAGGGUCUCAAUAUCAAUAAGCAUAUGGAUCACGUAGAGUUGGUGUUGUAAUUAAUUGCGAAAGUUAACCACAAAUGCGCUCCAAAAUGUCUGAAUUUAUGCUCAGCCCAGGAAAUGUCUGACAUUAUUUGAUACAGAAACAAGUACUUGAAUAGAACGGGCAAAAUUUGUGUUUAAAUAUUUCUAAAGUAAAAAAAGUCCAAGAUAUAUAUUUUUUUAUACGGAAAGCAUCGGCCAUCAACUUCUUCCUUUUUAGCUGCCGAAAUGGCACAAAACUUAUUGGCUGGAAGUGCUAAUAUCAGAUUUUAAAGAGACAAUAAGAUGAUGCUAUUUGGUCCGCAUAUAUGUUGCACGGCGUCUUAAUUAUCCCCACAAACUAAGUAAGCGAACUUAUAUCUCUUCUAACGGAAAAAAUCCUGGUGAUUGUCAGUCCUAGAACGCGACGAUUACUUUAAUUGACAUGUGAUUCUAGUGCAUCUGAUAGACUGGAAGGCUCUAGUAGCCGCCCCAGUCCACCGCACCUAAACAUGGGACCCAGCAAUUCUCAAUUUUCUCAUAAUCUGCUAUACGUUCUUGCUACUCAGUUAUUAAUUAGUUAAUUUUCCAUCAAUCAGGGAAGACUCCUUAAUUACCUUUGUGUCAGGUCAAACCCCGGUAAAGAUUAUCCACUGAUUUUACGACUAACUGCGGCUGUUAACCCCCGAUUUCCAGCAGCCUUUUCUAACUAUAUGCAAGCUACCAAAUGGCAUUAAGUCAAAAUUCGGCAGGCGUCGGUCACCUCUUUCGUUGACGACUCAAAACAGGUCCGUUUUCUCCGGAAUGUGGAAGACCUCCGUCUCCGCAAUUACUUAUUUAACAUAUUAGUUUUCAGAGAUUAGAUGAUAAGAAAUUAAGAAUCCCUCUCUCUCUCGCCCACUCUUUCUACCGAAUACAUGUGGGGGAAACAAAUAUAAGGAUAUCGAUGGCACUUGCGUAAAUUUACGCGACACACUCUCCGUACGUUAUCCGAAUUGUAAAUGACGAAAACUUCUUUUCUUCUUCUUUUUUAAUAAAAAAAGGUCGGUAUACAAGGAAGACGUGUUGGGUUUGCUAUUUGGAUAAGCAUGACCUUUUUGCAUUCACCGCCCGCGGAUUGGAAUUUCAAAUUUGUCCGUCCCCUUCUACACAACUUCCACGGUCCUACCCCCCCCUCUCGUAGUCGUAUAUAUACCCAUCCCCCUCAUUCCCCCUCUUUGUAGAGGACUAAAGAAAUCCCAAUCCCCAAUCCCAAUCCCAAUCCCAAUCCCAAUCCCAAUUCUUUUCUCCCAAGCAAAGAUAAUCAAAUCCAUCCGCCCAGCUUCUAAUUAUUAAUCUUUCCUCUCCAGUUUAUUUAUUUUUACGUGUACACCGAAUUUUGUUGUCGUAUCAACUCAUGCUCGAAUUGGACUGGAAAUCAAAAAAUAUGGCGGCCCCAGAAAUAUCGUUUAGAUCGUCGUCGCCGUCAUCGUCAUCGUCGAGAAUAUCAGAUGAAGGAAAACCCUCUCUCUGCUAUUCCAAUUCUCCGCAGUUGAUAAGGGACGAGUCUGCGAUCGCCGCCUACGAACACUACUUCCGCCUCCCGGAGCUCUCCAAGCUGUGGAGCUGCAGAGACUUCCCCGAGUGGAAGGACGAGCCGAUCGUGAAGCCGGCGCUGCAGGCCCUGGAGAUCACGUUCCGGUUCGUCUCCGUCGCGCUCUCCGACCCCCGGCCCUACGCCAACCACCGCGAGUGGCGGCGGCGCCUCGAGUCCCUCGCCGCGCGCCAGAUCGAGCUCGUCGCCGCGCUCUGCGAGGAGGAGGAGGAGGGGGGCGGCGCGCCCGUGGCGGGGCUGAGCNGAGUGGCGGCGGCGCCUCGAGUCCCUCGCCGCGCGCCAGAUCGAGCUCGUCGCCGCGCUCUGCGAGGAGGAGGAGGAGGGGGGCGGCGCGCCCGUCGCAGGGGGUGCUCUCCCGGGAGCGGAGCUCGCAGGAGGUGUGGAAGCUGCCCGGGGCGAGCGCCGUGGUGAGCCGCACGAGCGAGGCGAGCCUGCUCCCGCGCCUGGCCACGUGGGACAAGACCGAGGACGCGGCGUCCGCGAUCGCCUACCAGAUCGAGGGCCAGAUGCGGCGGUGCCGCUUCACCCUCGGCCUCGGCGAGCCCAACCUGGCGGGAAAGCCCGCUCUCGAGUACGACCUCGUGGUCCGGCCCGCGGAGCUCCACGCGCUGAGGAGAAGCCCUUCGGAGUCCCGGGCCCCGCGGAACCGCGAGAGCGAGGCGCUCGUCACCAUCCACCAGAUCCUCGAGUCGUGGCUCUGCGCCGCGCGGGAGCUCCUCUCGCGGGUGGGGCGGCGGAUCGACGGCGAGCAGUGGGAGGGGGCGGCGAGCGACUGCUGGCUCCUGGAGAGGACCUGGAAGCUUCUGGGCGAGGUGGAGGACCUGCACCUGCUGACGGACCCGGACGACUUCCUCCGCCUCGUCAAGAGCCAGCUGGCCAUCCGCGCCGGGUCCGGGUCGGACGCGCUCUGCUUCCGAUCGGCCGCCCUGGUCGAGGCGGCGGACGCGUCGCGGGAGCUGAAGCGGAGGGUGCCGUGGGUGCUCGGGGUGGAGGUGGACCCGGACGGCGGGCCCAGGCUGCAGGAGGCCGCGAUGAGGCUGCUCCACAGCCGGCGGCGCGGCGAGGGCGGCAACUCCGGCAGGAUCGACCUGCUGCAGUCCUUUCAGGCGGUCGAGGCGGCGGUCCGGCGGUUCUUCUUCGGGUACCGGCAGCUGAUCGCGGGGGUGAUGGGGAGCCUGGAGGCCGGCGGCAACAGGUCGCUCUUCUUGCCCUCCGAGUCGCUCGAUCCGCUGUCGCAGAUGUUUCUGGAGCCGCCCUACUUCCCCAGCCUGGACGCGGCCAAGACCUUCUUGGGAGACUUCUGGAGCAAGGACGCGUCGGACACCGGCUGCGGCUGCUCUUCAAAGACGACGGCUCCCCGAUGCUGAGCGUGGAUGAGAAUAUAUAUCUAUAUCCGCCCGAGGUGGGUUCGAUCGUACGCAUUCAAUUAAGCGUGAUUAAUUUGUGAGGCAAGUUUUGGGGCGUUUUCCCUACUACCAGGCGUCCAGCUUAAUUAGUUAACUUUUAACGGCAGAUGAUACAAGAGAUUUGCUCAUACGUUAUUUCAUCGCGGUGGUCGCCCAAUUAAUUGUUUUGUUUUUGGCAAGUAAAACAACAGUUGUUCUUUCUUUCACUGUUUCACAUCGUCUUCCGCAACAGCUUCCUUAAUUAAUUUGACGCUCGCUCCACACUAGCUAGUACAAAUUUAGCACCCAUUUUCGUUUGUCGAACCAAUGUAUAGAACACGAACGUUUAGACACGGACGGACCGUCCGGGAAAAUUCUUUCGCUCAGCAUCUUUUUCAACUUUUGUUUUUUCUCCCCAUUUGAGCUAGCUCUCAUUAAUUAGUUUGUCUGAGGAUCACUUCCGAGUUUAUUUGAUUGCGAUUUUAUUAAAUUUUUAAGGAAUUUAUUUACAAAUGCUUUUUUUUUUAAAAAAAAAGGUAUUUAUUUUUUACAAAUGUUAAAUGUCGAUUACUAAUGAAAUUGUUAAUUCGAAUAAAAUUUCCAAUUUAAAUGCCAAGCGGAAGAAGCCAACCUGUGUAUGUAUUUUGAUAACAUUUACGAAUUAAGUGAGUGGUUUAUUUAUCUGACUAUUCCUAUUCCUAUUUUGUACCACCGAAGAAGAUAAAAUUGAAACCGCCUUCGAAUUAAAAGUUUAGGGUGAUAUCAAACCAUCAAACAAAUGAGAUCCAUAUUGUCCUCAACACAAAUUAACCACACCACACCUUAAUCUUUUCGUUAGUUACUAAAACUAAAUUGAGCAGAUCAUAUAACAUCGAGAUGAUACUAACCAAACAAAUUAAACAAGGCAAGAACAUAAUUAAUUAUGUAUAAUUUUUUUUCUAGGGGUAGUGGAGGACUUACUUCAAGCCAUCUAAUAACAGCAGAUACUUCAAUAAUCGUCACAUUUACUAGCGAGGAAAGUGAGGCCCGAAACUUUGGCCCGACCCUCUCCUUCCUGAUGUUAGCCCAAUAAAUGCCAGGUAAGGCUCCGGGCCCAACUAGGUCCCAUUACGUAUUUAGUUUGCAGGCUCGAGUGCGUGCGCACUAUACUGGGCUUUGUGGGCUCCAGGUCCUAUUGGGCUCUAGGUGCACGACAUUUGCAGGCCGGGGAGAGGCGCCGGCCGGGUUAGUAGCAAAAAGUUUACACGACACUCCACAAAACUAGCUUUUCUAGUCAUCGACCACUCACGCAUCUCAUGCAUGUUGUGCUCAUCUUAAUUACGAUGAAAUUGUUUUGAACAGAAUUUGCGGAGCAUUUUAAACGGGAAAGGAGAGCAAAGAAAAAGAAAAAGCUCUAACCGGUAUUUGUCUUGUUUGAAUACAAGAAUUAUGUUAGAAAAACUAAUUAAAAGUUUGACCCAGCAUCGACCUUUCCAAAUUUGGACGUAAUUACAUAUAACCGGAGGUCGGCAUACAACUAGCUAGAAACUACCAUUGCAGCUGCUACUCUGAGAUCGAGACUGAGACUGAGACAUUUGCCAAGAUAUCAUCUCCAUGAGAUCCAUGUCGCCCUUGCUACUUGAAGAAGUUUGAUCCUUGAAGAAGAACUCAUCGCCCUCCGCCGCAAACACAUGGCCUGGAGACGCAUGUUCUUCGCGCAGAAGAUGGGGUUCACCGGUGUACUUAUCCUGGUUAGAACCCAUCUCAUAAAAUUCACCUUUAACCUCCUCAUGAUAUACCCAGUCAAGUGAUGGUGGCGAAGCCAUCAACAUGCAAUCGUCUAGGCCCCAUAAAUAGUAAGCAUCAUCGAGAGAAUCAUGAAUGCAUGGAUCAUGCAUGUUGCCCACAUGAUAUGCAUCAAAUUCGACGCUCUCGCUAUUAACAGACUGAUUCAAAUUUGUCUCCAUAGGUUGCUGCAUGGCGCCAUAAACUCCAUAGGUUGCAUUUGAUGGAAUUAAAUUUGGGGGAUCGUUCCUUCUGGUGCAAUUAUCCUUGAGGUUGGAUAUGGUCUUACUCCUUAUGUAGUCCUGCAGGAUCGACGGCUCGGGUUUUCCGCCUCGACUGCCUGUCUUUCUUUUGCUCCUUCUCUUUGCAUUCUGCCUCCUUUUGGUGGCAUUCCAGUGGUUCUUGAUGGAGUUCUCUGAUCUCCCCGGUACGUGCUUCGCAAUCUCUGCCCAUUUGUUACCGAACUUCUUGUGGGCUUCCACGAGCAUCCUUUCUUCCUCUUCAGUCCAUGUUUCCUUCUGCAGUAUAUAGGAACAUGCAUGCGUGCAUGAUAGAUUGACGUACAUCGAAAAAUAUCCAUGGGAAAUUAUAUGAAUAGCUGCUAGUUUAGGGUUUAAGAUAAUGCUUGUCAACCAACCAAAUUACCAGUCCGGCAUUGAGGAAACACGCACUAAUUACAAGUGGUCGCUACAAAGAAGCCUAAGAAUAAUUAGACAAUCUGCUUGCUUCUUGUAUUUCAUGCAUGGUAAGUUGGUAACAAGAAAUAUUGCAUGAGAUCAAAUAACAAAAAUUCUAUUUUCACGUAAAAAUAACGGGAAAAAGAAAAAGAAACCUUGAUAUCAGGACGGAGAUGAUUAUGCCAUCUUUCUCUGCACUGCUUCCCGAUCCUACCAACCAAAUUCUUUGCAAUCUGAGACCAUCUCCUAACACCGUGCUGAUCCACCAGUUGAACCAACAACCUUGAGCACCAGAGAAAGAAUAACUUAAUUAGAAACUUAUAGUGCAAUUACCUACUGUACGUAGUAUAUGGCAGACAUAUCAUAAUAACAGCUGUUAGCUAGUGAGAAGAUUUUUUCUUUUUCUUUUUAUUUUUUUCUUUUUUAGAGAACGAAAACCUGUCCUCCUCAGCUGUCCACUGUCCUUUCACAACAUUUUUAGCGGGGACUGUCGUGGUCGACGAAGAAGACGAGCUGCUUUGCGCCUUCUUCGAGCCCCUAUUCGACUCUCUCCUCGCCGCCUCCUCACCGUUACCAACAAGAAGACCGCCAAAAAAGCUCGACUCGUUCAACAAUAUUCCACUCGGAGGAACACCUAUUGCACUGGUGAUAUGAUCGAGGACACUCGGCCCACUUGGGUAAUUCACAGCUGUUUCCUCCCCCUUCACAGCCGAGAGGCAAAGCUCCCCAGUAGAAGAGCUGGAGAGGAACCUCUCCAACGGCGCCAGCAGUGGAGGCGGCCGCAGCGAGCGCAUUCUCUUCUCCACCAGCUCACGGAAUCCAAACCCUCUUUCCAUUCUAAGGAAAAGGAGAGAGAGAGAGAGGGAUGAAGAAGGUGACGAAGGAGGAGGAGAUUAUUAUUGUAAUUGUAAGAUUAUAAGAGUCCAAAAUGGGUGCGUGGAAGUGGUGGUGGUGUAGUGGUGGUGUGAAAUGGGGAAUGGCGUAGGUUUAGAGUGCUGUGCUAAAUUCGUGGGAGAGGGGGAGGGCGAGAGAUGUGGGAGGAAAGAAAGAGAAAAGGCUACAGUUACGCCCCAAAAGAGAGAGAGAGAGAGAGAGAGAGAGAGAGAGAGGUGCUUAAUUGCUUUUAUUGUUGUAGUAUUAUUCCCUUUGCCUUAAUAGCCUGUUUAUUAACUCGGACAUUAAUAGCCGUCCAUCUUAAGCACAUCCCACGGCUGAUCGUGCGCACAUGCUACGUAACGCUUCAUCUCCCAUUUUUCGAACUCCAUUUCUCAUCAAAUCAUCAUCAUCAUCAAUUCAUCAUCAUCAGCUCAGGAGCUUGCUGGGUUGGAUAUAUCGCCGGCCCAGCCCAAUACACCUAUGGGUCGGCCUACCUAUCUCGUGGAAAUCUAUUCACUGUAGAUUCCGGCCCAAGUGGAAAUUAGGUGUUCGAAUAGAAAAUGGCCCGAUCGUUUUUAGAUCACGAUCCGACAAAUUGGGCCAAUCUCUGGGUCUCCAUCUAAUUGGGUAGCUCAAGCGUAGUGCGCGCCACAAAUUAAACUGUUUUUAUCUCCAAUACAUAUCUCUCCACAGAGGCAAAUGAUGAUGACAUAACAUAUAAUAUGCACCACCCAUUCCAAACGUUCAUACUAAUUAAUCUAUCUACAUAUAGCAUGCCAAAAAAAAAAAAAAAAAAAAAAAAAAAAAAAAAGGAAAAAUCGUUGAGAUUGUAUGUAUUUUGCUAGGAAUUUAGCGGGGAAGGUGAUGAUGGGUGGCUAAUGAUAAGGCAACGCAAGGUCUAAAGUUGACCAAAAAAUUAAUCUGCGUCUGUCACUUUCAUUUAUGGCCGAUCUUUCUUCCAUGUUACUAAAUUGCGGCAUUUGAUUAUUAAGUAAUGAAAAAGAAUAAGCCAUCAUAUCCUUACCAAACCUUAUUUGUUAGUAAACAUCCAACAGUAUCUUAUCAGAUUGUUAUGAAUCUAGGCUAGCUAGUACGCAUGAUGUAGCCAAUUAAUUAUUAAUGCGAGGAUUUAGUACUUAAAAAAGAGAACAUGGGACUCUUUACAUUUCGGAAUCAUCUAUUUUUUUUCCCAUCUGUUUGAAAACUACAUUUGGAGUUAAUUGUCAUUUAGCGAGCUUGAAUUAAGCAAGAGAUUAAAAAGUGGUAUCUUGUAAGAUUUGUUAAUUCGGCUGAUAAUUAAGGUGCAUGUGGGUCACUCAAAGCUGUCCCCAGUGAAGUGAAAUUGGCACAAUUAAUUGUUUCCUUUUGGUGCCAAAUUAGUAACAGAGGUGUUUCUGGAGGGACACUUGUUUUUCACAUUCGUAACGCGCUAUACCUUCAGGUGGGAAUCACGUGCAUUGGUUUCACGCAUGUUUUAUUAGUGAAGUAGCACCAUGCAUGGCCAAUUGGCCAUGUGAAUGAGACAUGGAGACAUUAUGGAAGGCAUAUAUGCAUCACUUUUUGGAAAUUAUAUAUUUUAGAGUUUUUUGAAGAGCCUAAAAGAGCUUUUAAGAGAUCCAGUACCCCUCGAUCCACCGGAUGUUAACUUCACAACGCGGUAAACAUUUCAACCAUUAAUAUUUCGUAUAAUUAAUUGAACAGAAUCUAAGCUUCAAGUAAAGCAUUAAAGUUGCUGCGUUUGAAGAACACAUUUUAAGUAAUUAAUCUAGGCUAACGAAUAUUGAGCUAGCUAGCCGCCUCAUUAAUAAAAAGCCUCACAAUUGAGUCUUGUCUCCUAUCGCCAAAGAUGGAAACUCUUGAAGGGGCGAGAGCAUAUUCUGCUGGUGACCGAAUUACACAUCCUUUGCUAGCUAGCUACGAAAUCGGCAAGAUGCUCUUUGUUGCCGUUUUUCCACAUAUAUAUAUAUAUAUAUAUAUAUAGAGUCCGGCUACUAUGCCAUCGGUAGUACGGAGCGUUCCGUGCUACCAAGUUGUUUUCGAUGAUGCGGCUUCCAAAUCGGCGAUCGGCUCCGUUAGACUUGAUCUACACUAUUGAAAGUAUUUGGAAACUAAAUUUUAGAUUUUUUCGACAUCAUUUGACUAGUGAUCAAAAGAUCUCAAAAUUGACAAUUUUAAUGGCCGAUGUGGCGUGUUUGUGCAGUUAACGGUGUAAAACAAUUCCAAAAUCUGAUGAAAAUUUUAUAGAAAACUCUUUUCACUAUUUAAAGUAAGACAGUAUAUCUGAUCUUAAAUUUAAAUUUUUUAUCAUUAUUUUUAAUGAGAUUUUUAUUUUUAGCCGUUCAAUUUUAGACUAUGUUCUUGUUAGGUAAAUGAUAUCGAAAAAUUAUGAAAUUUAGUUUCCAAAUACUUUUCAAUAGUGUUUAGAUCAAUCUGAACGGAGCGAUCGUCGAUUUGGAGAGCCGCAUCACGAAAAAACAUUGUAGCACGGAGGCUCCGUGCUACCGCAUAGUAUAUAGCCUUAUUCUGUAUAAUUAUAUAGCUAUAGUAUAAUACUAGUUAUAUAUUAGAACUUAGGCUUAACUAAUUAGCUAUUGAAUAGCAUCAAGUCAUUGGUGCUACCAAGUUUUUGAGCCAUUGGCAUAAGAAAUGUGUGGUUAGGAUAAUGUUGGGUCCCUAGGUUGAAGUGGUGUGCGUUGGUUGAAUAAUAAUCGAUCUAACGGCUCCGUGAAAAAUGGAUCCAAAAGAGUAGAUUUAACGGCAGAAACUGUGUAGACAACGUGCUCCGUGCUAUUAAUGCUAGUAGCGGACUCCGUGUUUGUGAUUCACCUGGAUGUAAAACAAAUCCAAAUCUGAUGGCAAAAAUUUUAUAGAAAUCUUUCAAACUAUUUAAGUAAGACCGUAUAUUCUGACUUUAUCAAAUUUAAAUCUUUUUUUAUCAUCUAUUUUAUAUAUGAGAUUUUUUUUUAUAGGCCGCUCAUUUUAGAAAUCUUAUUUGAUUUAUGCGUACAAUUGAAUAUCGAAAAAUCUAUGAAUUGUUUCAAAUACUUCAAUAGUUUAUAUCAAAUCUAAAGGAGUCCGAAUCGUCGAUUUGGAAGCCGCCAUCAAAUUCGAAAACAACUGUUAGCACGGAGCGCUCCGUCUACCGGAUAUAUAGAGUACCUAAACUAUAUAAUACUAUAUAUAUAGAUUAUAUAUAAUAACUUAGGCUACUAUGAGCUAUUAAUGCAGCCAUAUUCAAGUCAUUGGUGCUACCUGCGUUUUUGCCAUUGGAUUAAGAAUGUGUGAUUAGAUACAUUGUGUCCCUUAGGGUUGAGUUCGAGGUAGUUGGUUGAAAUAUGUAUCAUGAUAUCAGUAGGGUGAAAAUGAUCAAAAGAGUAUGAUCUAACUGAGCACAAAUGAAAACUUGGUACCGCCAACCAUAAGUGCUUGUCAAGCAUUGCCGUGCUAUUAUAGCAUAGGUACCGGACUCUAUCGAUACAUAUAUAUAUUAUAUUAUAUUACAUAACCCAGACGUUACCUUAUAUAAUCUCUAGGCCACAUAAUUGGCCUAAGCGUAAAAUUCAUUUUUAUCUUUAACACCUUGGUAGAUAACACUAAAGGCCGUAGAAGUUUCAAUAAUUCUAUCACCUGCUCGGGGCCAUCAUCGUGUAAUAUGUGAAUAUGGCACCUCCGUCCCAUAAAUUAACGGCAUAUCCUACGCCAUGUCGAAACUGUCGAAGGGAAUUUGACGAUAAAUGGCAGGUCCAAUCUAAUGUCCAACGUCUGCAAAGAACAAACAAAAAUAGCAAACUUAGCUGCAUUGCCUCCAUGCCGUGUGAAAGCUCACACCAUGAAUGUUAUCAUCCAGCACCAUAAUAUUAUAGAUUGAUGCAUUGUAUCACUUGCAAGUUACAACUAAACAAUAUUCAACUUUACGUUAUUCUUUAUUUUGCGUAAAUCUCAUCAUUACCGAUCCAAAAAUGCAUGUUUCUCAAUGGGAAUCUGUCAUAAAUAAUUCAUGGGCAGUCAUGUAUGAAAAUUAUCGUGAGCAGUGAAGGAAGAUGUAUCUAAGUGGUAUGAUGUUGUCAAUUAAAUUAGGCGUAGAAAAUCCACCUUAAGGAACAAUCAUUAAUUAAUCGAUUCGUUACCUGCUACAUUUUUAUAUAUUAGAAUCUCUAUAUUUUAUAAUUUUAUUCUAGAGCUAAAAAGUAUACCAUAAUUAUAUAUUUAUUAAAUAUUAUAUAUUAUAUAUCAGAGUAGUACUAUGGCUAUCGGACAGCACGAGCUUCGUCUUCACGGCGGUUUUACGAUGUUGCGCGAUACUCUUCGAAUCGUCGAUGCUAGGCUCCGGCCAUCUCCGUUAAACUUUGAUCUAUGGUUGAGUAUUUGAAGUAGCGACAAUUUAGGCAAAAAUAAUUCUGUUAUUAUUUUCGAUAAUUAUUUUGCCUAGGAUCGAAGGUGCUUUCAAAUACCAAUAAAUUUUAAUGGUCGUUGUGUAGACUCGUUUGUAGUUUAACGGUGUAUAGGAAAUAGUCCAAUAUCACACUUCAGUGAAUUUGACUAAAAAAAUACUUUAUAAUCUGUAUAAAAUAAGAUCUAAUAUCUUUGAUUUAAAAUUUAAUGUCAUAUGAUCACAUUUUGUUAGAUUUUCAUUAUUAUCAAGGAGCCGUUGAUUUUUGAGGACCCUCUUCGUUACUAGCGCAAUGAUAUCGUAACAAUCAUCAAUAAAAUUUUUCUUCUAGGUACUUCAAAUACUCUAGAUCAAGUUUAAACGAGGCCCGAUCGAACUAUUCGAAAAAGUCGCAAGCAUACGAACGAGUUGAAGCACGGAAGCGCUCCGUGCUUCCGAUAGGCAUAGUAUCCUCAACACUAUAUAUAGAUAUAUAUAAGUAUCAUUAUAUUAUAUUAUAUAUAUAGAGGGCUGCUGCUCUCAGGAGCACGGAGGCCUCACGUGCGCCUGAACCGUUUUCAAUGAUUGGGAUUUUCGAAUCGACGAUUCCGGUCUCCUUAGACUUGAUGCUACGGUAUUUUGAAAGUUUCUAAAAAUAAUCUUUUGCGAUAUUUUGAAUAUGCAUUACUUAGUUUGAUCGAAAGUAUCAAAUCAAUGAAUAAGUGGUUGAUAUCCGAUUGUCAAUUUUCAAAAUUUAACUCGGUGUGAAGUAUUUCAAAGAUCAAUAAAUUUUGAUAUAAAUAUUCCUUAAUAGCUCAUUUACAAUCAAGAUCAAUAUUCGAUCUAUGAAAUUUAGUACUAUAAUUGCCACUUUUUUAUAGGAUUUGUUUAUUUUUCAGCCGUAUAAAAAUUAUUAAUUUUCGAAUUUUUUGAUUGCUAGUAAAUGAUCUCAAAAAAAUCGCUAAAAAUAUUUUCUAGGAAACUGUCAAAUACGACUAGAUUCUAUAGACUCUACAUCCCCGGCCCUGGAUCGGUCGGAUUCAUAUAGAAAUUCCAUAUCGAUACUUCCUAGAGAGCGACAACAUGCCCUACAUCUCCUCUCUCUCUGAUUUACUAAGAGGUAGACUACACAUAUGUGACAGCAACAUUUCUGACCUCGUCGCAAGUCCGCCUCUCUGCACUUCCCCAACCCUUUCGGCGUGAUGCAGCGCCCACUCUUCCAGUUCCAUCUCCUUCGCUCUCAUCAACGAUUUUUUCCCACCUCUUCCAUCGCAGACUAUCGAUAUCUCUCCGUCCUCAUUUUCUUCUUUCUUCUCCUCACUUCCUCAGUCUCCACAUCUCUCUCUCGAAGUCUCUCUUCUCUAAUAUACCUAUAAAUUAUAAUACUAUAUAUUAGAUGGAAGAGAGAGUCUGGAACGUCAGCUCACUAUUAGUAGCAAAAUCCCAAUUUUGUGCUCACCUCCCAAGUCCUGAGUUUUUUAGCUCUUUGGAUCAACUCUUUUCAUGAUAAAUUUAUAAUCAUUUGAUUAAAUUACUAUAAACUCCAGUGGCGAGGGACACACUCAAAGCCCUAGUCGAAAAUCACUGCACGUCACUCUAACCGCUAAUAAAUGUGGAUUUUACUGAUUAAUAAAUUUUUUAUCUCCAAGGAUCUAAAAAAAAAACUUGAUAUGAUCACCUCAAGGCAAAACAGAGCAUUUUGACCUAUUAUAAGUAAUUUCGCAGCAUAAUUUUAUAUAUACUAAUACUAACGAAUUCGAUGCUACUCUAUUACUAUCAAUGAGUACUAAAUGCCCCCCGGUUUGGUACUAUUGAGUUUUGCCGCAGUUGGAGAAAGGAAAUUGUGAGGUUAGGAAAUGAUAUGGCCUCCCAAUUAAUACUUGAUAGGUGUCUCACUAGGGAUAGAGUGGGUGUUGGUUUUAAUAGAAUACAUACAUUAACGGAUUAGAAUGUGUAUUCAAAGGGUAUGAUCGAACGGUAGAAAACCUCAAUAUACCCAAGGGCUUUGUACUUAUCAAAUAGUAUAGUAGACCCGGACUCAUCUUUCCUCUCCUUCUCUCUCGCUCCAUUCUCCAUUCUCUUAAUAUUAUAAUCAAAUAAAUAUAUAUAUUGGACUUGAAAUUUCUUACAUAUAUCUUAUAAAAGGCUUCAUUAAUUUCUUACAUGCUGGUACAUAAUGUAAAGGUCGAACAGAACUUUGCCUCUUAAAAAGGGCAAGCUAGCUUCAUUUCUUUGCUCAGAAGUUCCGCGAGCUUUCACAGCCACUAAUUACAAAAGGAUAUUAAUUUUGAACACCUACUCAACUCCAUUGGUCUUUGAAAGAGAUGCUGAUGAAAAGUUCAAAGGAAACUCUAGAUUCUAAAUUGUACUUAAUUUUCCAGAGCCAAACUCUUUUCUCGAUGACUGGCGACAAUAUAUACUGAUUGGUAUAACGUAUCGGAGAGGGCGCUCUCAAUCAUAUGUUUAGUUGCUCGUUAGGUGUAAACUGCAUGCAUGCAUUAGUCAACUAGGCUUUUUAAUGAUACUGACUUUUAACACUGUCUAUCUAUGAGGACAAUCAGUUUCCGUUUGUGUGCAAAGUUCCUUCCUAGUUAAUAGCUCGAGGUAGAACGCCUAAUUCUGGCAGUCCGAUAAAUAUUCGAUCGGUUGACAUUUUGCAGUAAUUAAUGUGGUGAAUUUUGCCAAUAAGAGUUGCAGGUCACACAUUUUCAUAAAUACUACUUAAAAUUACAAGGAUUAAUCAGUUGAAGUUAAUUUAAUUUCCAGAUCCAAGUCUCUAAUGGUAGCUUUCUACUUUCUUCAGGACUUGUGAAGCUAGACUACAGGCUUGAUCAUCACAAAUAUGUUAUUUUGACAUGGGAAAAAGCCGCUGGAUAUAUUUGUCGUUAGAAGUAUCAAAUUUGCCUACGCAUUGACUGGUAUGUCUCGGGACUAAUAAAUAGUUGCCUUGGUGGUGCAUUUACCAGCUGGGCAAUUCAUGAUCAUCCAUUUCUAGAUAGAAAGAAGAACCAAACCGCGUACGCUCACCUUUUUAUUCCCAAUUGAGUGUAGAGGUUAGCAUAGAAAUUAAAUGGUACAUAAAAGUAGGACUAUCUAGUUAGGAGGCCCAUCAAUAACGAGUAAGUUUAGUAGGGUUUGAACACUUACAUUGCUACUUUACUGCGCAUCCAUGAACCAGGCAUAUAUGUAUGUUUGUACCAAUCACAGAGAAGGUUGCUCGAAACUGCAAAAACCACGCACAUCACCUGUGAAAUGUUCCAAUUAUAUUAAUGCCUUGCGAAUGAUUGUCUACCUAACGAUUCACGUGGUAGUGCCGACUCGAACCCUCCAAUUUGGUGCCAUUUCCUUGCAUGUUUCAUGUGCGAAAAAAUUUGCGUAUGCAAAAACAAUCCUGCUUCUGAUCACGUGCAGUGAGAUGCAUACCUGCCGUUCAAUUUGGACGGUACGCAGGCAUUCUUGCUUUUGGGUGUACGUACGACAGAAAUAGCCUCUAUACAAAAGCUUCUUGCCCCUGGGUUUAUGCUCAAUGUGCGCGUGUCCAAUUCUUGCUUUGUUACGGCGAGUUCACUUGGAGAUUCGCAAGCAACGGGUUAAUAGGAGAAUUGGCUCGGACUUGGUAUUGUGCUGUCAUGUUGAAUCUUUUCUCGAUGACUAAGGGCCUGUUUGUUUUGGUGUAAGUGGAAUGAUGGAACUCAAGUUUCAUCACUUUCGUUAUUUAUUUUAGUGUAAGUGAAAAAUAUAAUGUAACUCAAGUUACGUUAGAGCUCCACUUCACCUACUCUCGACUUUUUCUUCUAAAAUGCUGAACUCGACUUUCAACACACUCAACUACGAGAAAGUCAGAGUUUCAAAAAAUCCACUCCCUAGCCAUGCACCUUCCGCCUUUGCUUUCAGUCUUUCCUUCCAGUACCAUAACACUCAGUUUCAGGCCACUAUACCGAAAGAAAGAAACUCCGGACACUAAUCCAAGAGGGAAAGCUAGCCUCACUAUACCGAUCAUGGUUUCUGCACCUAAACACAUCCCUUCCUUCUCAUUUGGCUUAGGGGAUGCCCAAAGCUAGCCUCACUCUCAUAUCUCUUUACCAAAGCAGCUUAAGCUAAAUCUCUCUCAUUUCACUUGUUGGAUAAACACGAAACUCGAUUAGCGUCAGGCAUUUUUUCUAAAAAAUUUAUUUAUUAAAUAGUAAAAUCUAAGCUCUACUUCUUUUAUAAUGAUUAGAAUUACCUUAUUUAUAAUAAAUUAAGAUUACCUUUAGUGCCCGUUUGGUUUGAGUUAUGUAAUAUUACAAAGUAUCUCGACAUAUCCAGAUAUCUUAAAUUUUGGCGUGAUAUUACUACUGAUGCUGCAUUAGAGCGUUUGGUUUAAUACAGUAAUGUAAUACUAGAUUACAGUAUUUAUAGCAUUAAUAUGUUUGGUUCAGUUUAUAAAAUUUAGUAAUCCUGACAUAAAAGUAUAGUUUUCUUCAAAAUUGCCCUUGUUGUGGUCAUUUGAAUAUUAUUUUUUGCGAAAAUGGCGAAUGGAGGGAAGGAGAUCGUGAUGAUUACGACGCAAUCGAAGAUGAUAGGUGUUCGUGCGAGAGAGAGAGAGAGAGAGAGAGAGAGAGAGACGUUGAGAGAAAGAGAGCGAGAGAAAGCGGCGUGCGAGAGAGAGGGCCGGGGGGAAGGCGAGAGAGAGAUGAAAAUAAUGUUGUUAAUUAGAUUUGGGAUUGUUGGAGGGUAAAUUGUCAUUUUACAUAAUAGGUAGUAUUAACGGAUUUCAGUAAUGCAAGAUACACGACCUCCCUCCCGUUAAUAUUUUCGAUAUAAUCCUGCUCGAUUUGUAAUGCUACAUUAACGAUUAGAUUACAUAGCGGAUUAACCAAACACAGUUAUUCUGGUAGGAUUGCCUGUAAUCCUGUCAGGAUAAUUCAAACCAAACGCACCCUUAAAUAAUAAUAAUAAAAAAAUUAAUUAUAUAAUAGGUUAAAUUUGCUAGUGGUAAAUUUACUACUAUAUUUAGGAGAUAAUGGGAUCCACUUAUUUACAUCAAAACAAAUAACGAAACUAAAAAAACUAAUUAAUUUUACCAGUACCAAGUUAUAUCAAAAGAAACAGAAAAAGUAAUUGAAUUUAACUUUCAGACUGUACGAGUUACGUGAAAACAAACAACAAAAAAAUAAUCACACUUCAGAAAAACUCAAGCACCACUACAUUUGACUUACGUUGGAUCUAUAGAUUCGUCAAUCCAAACGCCCCCAAGCGUUCAGUUUAAUUUUUGGAGCAAUUUUUGGGGUGGCGAACCACACAAUUCUGGAUUGAUUUUCCCAUAAAAACCGUCAGAUCCGAGGAGCUAAAAGAUGAGAGAGAGAGCCAGUAGAACGAACCGGGAGUUUAUUUUUAUUAUUAUUAUUAUGUUAUUGCUAAUUACAAGAAUUAUACUACUUCCGGAGCAGAAGAGAGCAGCUCAUAUAUAACUGUUCCACACACACCCGCCAUAAGAACUAGAGCUAAAACUAGAACUAGAACUAGAAAAAUGCAACUCGGGCCAGCUCCCGAGUUAAUUAAGAGACAAAACUCUCAAAAGACGGGCUUCCAUCGCCCAUCCACUGAACGAUGAGCACCAGAUACCAAACGGCCUCGUGGCCACAGUCGAUGUGAAAGCACUUCCCUGCUCCAAUGGCUUCUAAUUAAAAACGCCCCCCCGCGUUGUUGCCCAUUCUAACGGGCCAUGCACAUGCUCAUUUUUUUUGUGUUCGCUUCCCGUUUGUGGUGAAAAUGCGCAAUUUCCCGGGCGUGGAGGUUGAAUUAUGCUUCGUCGGUAUCGAGAGGGUAGCAGGUGUCCUCACCGCCGGUGUUCCAGAGGAAGUGGGCGUAGUUAGCAGCGUAGAAGCUGUUUCCGGGAUCGGCAGCAAUGGCCUCCAGGUAGGUCUCCUCCGCCGCCUCCAGGUCCUUCCGCGCCACCCACAGGAACGUCGCGUACCGGCUCAGAGCCUCUGCAUCUGCCGGCUCGAUCCGCACCGCUUUCUUGAAGUAGUACUCCGCCCUGCACGUUCGUUCAUUAAAAUUGUCCCCCAAAUUCCAUGCACUUUCAGUACCCAUACAAUGCAUUUAAAAAAAUAGUAAAGCGGGAAAAAAAAAUAGACAGCAUGGUAAUUAAUCACUGGUAACUAAUUUCCGAAUCCUAAUUGAUUGAAUCGAUCGAUAUAUACCUAUCGUGAUCGCGGAGGACGAGAUAGAGGAACUGAGCGAAGUUGGAGACGAGGAGAGAGUUGUCGGGCUCCGCGGACAGCGCCUGCUGAUACAUGAGCUCCGUUCUAAAAUGCGCCGUCGAACCAUCAUCGCCCUCGAACUCCACCGCAACGGGCGCAACGAGCCGCUUCAAGACGGUGGGAUCCAUAAGCGACUCGUGCAUCACUCUCGCUCGCAUUCCAGAAGCUUCCUCCACCACUCUGUUCCAAACCACGGACUCGUCCUCCUCCUCCGCCUCCGAUGCGUCUUUUUCUACUCUCUUCUCCUCCGGGAGCGUCGCAGGGACGUUCGAUAUCCCUUCAGGAACGAUCGUGCGGCUCUCGCGGUACCCAUCGGAUCGCCCCUCGUCGCUCGACCCCGCCACCGGCCUCACCUUCCCCCCGCCGCCGCCGCCGCCGCCGCUCCCUCCGACCUCCGCCGUCCUCCCCACCGAGAACGACUUCACCGACGCCGAUGCGAACCGCUGUCGCUUGGUCUGAGGCGGGCUCUCGACCGGCAUCACGGCGGCGGAUCGAGGCGUGGGAUCGCGGGGAGGCGCGGCGGCCGCGGAGGCGACGGUGUGGGCCAUGGAGUGGACGGUGAAGUCGGCGAGGAGGAGCAUGAGGAAGAGCAUGAGGGUGGGGGUGCACGAGAAGAUGUGCUGGAAGAGCCAGACGAAGGAGGCGUGCAUCUCGUGGUGGACGCGCGCGAGGAUCCCCCGGAGAUCCUCGAGGAAGAGCAGCUCCCGCAUGUGGAGCGUGAAGCUGUGGAGCUCGCGGAUGAUGAACACCAUGGACGAGAAGGCCCUCUUCACGGAGCUCAGCGCCGACUCCCCCGCGUCCCGGAAGAAGUCCUCCUCCCACCGCUGCUGCUGCUGCUUCUUCUGCAUGAUGAUCCGCAGCGGCAGCGGCAGCGGCCCGCUGUUCGCCGCCACGAUCGACAGCGCGUCCCGAUCGGGCCAGUCCGGGGGCUCGUCGGGCCAGAUCGCCGGCCUUGCGGUGCCGGAGAAGGGCGAACCAGAUGCGGCGGCGGCGGCGGCAUCUCCUGCAUCUCUGCUGCCGCCGCCGAUCUCUGCAUCUCUCUUGCGAUCGUCGUCGCCGAGAGAAUCAGCUGAUUGUUCUCGAAUUCUCUUAUCGUCGUCGUCGUCGUCGUCGUCGUCGUCCAAGUGCUCCAGGCCUGCACUGACAGCUCUCCGCAGCUGUCCUUCCCUCCCCCGGCUUCCCCGCGGCCUGAAUAUCUCCGAAGACCGGGUUCUCGACAGCCUGCUGCCGCCGAGGAACGGCGACCGGUGCUCCGCGACGUGAUGGUGGGCGAGGGAGGCGUCGGAGCCGUAGAUGGGUCCGUAUCUCUUGGCGGAGCAAAUCGAAGCGAAAACAGAGGCCAGGGUCUGAGAGGCGGAGGGGGCGGCGGGAAACAGCUGCGACCAAUGCAAGCACGGCCCGGCCACUUGCACUCCCAUCUUCUUGCCCGCCGAUCACAAUUCACAAACCCAAUUCGGACCUAAUUAAAUUUACAAGGAAGUAGGUAAAGUUGUUUUAUUUAAUAAUUUUGCAAAUCAAGCGUAAAGGCUAGCCAGCAAGGUCAAAUUCCCGGAGAGCCCGUGAAGGAAUCCCCUUCACGCACUGCUCAUUCACUACUACUACUAGUAGUACUAUCUGUACUAGUAAGGAAUCUUCCUUCGCUCGCUCUUCCCUGCUUCCCUGCCUCCCUGCUUCGCUUCAAAUAGAAAGCAAACCCAACCAAAAACAACAUGCGCGCAGGGAUCAGCACCGAUUCCCUCCUCGUAGUACAGUAGUUAUUAUUCUCCUCCAAAACGAAAAAAUAAUAAUAAACAAAAACAAAAACAAAAACAAAAACAAAAACAAAAACAAAAACAAAGGGAGAGAUAGAGAGAGAAGAGAGAGCGAGAGAGAAAUAGAGAGAGAGAGAGAGAGAAUGCAAGCUCACUGGAAGAGGCGGGGGCGGUGGGCGGCCAAUUUAUUCGUGAUCGCAACGAAUGGGAGCGGCGCGGUGGAAAAGAAUCUCGCGCAGCACCGCCUCAGAUAUGUACGGCUCUUCUCCUCUCUCUGACUCAUCUCGCAACUUGCACCCGUGUGUGCUCUUAUACGCACCUCACAGUAUUAUUAUUAUUAUUAUUAUUAUUAUUAUUAUUAUUAUUAUUAUUUUAAACAAUAGUAAAGGGAUGUAGUAACCAUGAAAAUAUAUAAUAUUUAAAUGGGUAGCGCGAUGAAUAUUCAAUGUAGCUUUACCGAAGCAUCGCCUUUUUAAUCUUUUGUUUUUAUGAAAGCGUACGUACUUUGCGUUGCGUCCGGGCCUAAACCGCGCCUAAAGGCUAUUUUACAUAGAAAGUGAAAGUACAGGACGCGUGCCACCGCUACGAGACACACAGCGCCCGCCGUGGUAGAAACGUGAACCGUCCAGGCUUCACCCGUACGUUUGCAUCAUGUACACCCAUUGCCAACCUCCUUUCAAGUCUGUCCCCAAAUUUAUAACAUUUAAUUAAAUAUUUUUUUUAUUUUUAAUAUGGCAGUGAUUAAUAUCAAAAAAAUUAGAUAGUAUGCGCGCGUAUACAAAAUUAUAAAUUUCACAGAUUUAUUUUUUGGACAUUUGUAAUCUUGAAAAAUAAUCGCUCAAUUUUUAAAAGUUAGAUAUAUAAAAUUUAUGAUGUGUGACAAUAUAUAAAUCUUUUAAAUAUCAUACGAUACAUUCAAUUAAUCGGAUUUUCAUUUAGAAACUUGUAUGUUCGGUAAUUUUGGGUGCAUUGUAUGAAACUUGCCGGGUAAUUAAGUAGCCCCAGGCAAUAAUAUCCUGUAGCAUGUGCAGUGUGGUGCCCUGCUAUGCGCGCGAGUCCCCUCCGAUGCAGUUGGGCUUUUGUAUAUGAAAUUAUAUUGCGACCAGUGAGUAACGGAAUAAUAUUCUGUGUGUAGAAUAUUUUUUUACACUUUCGAGUCCAAGUUCGAUCCAAGCAUGGUCCCGCCCAAAAGAUCUAUUUCUAUUAGACCGAGGACAGCCUGGGUCCUUUACCACCACUAAGAAAAAACAAGGAAUCGCCCGUUAUGUUAAUAAGCCGAUAUUAUCUAUAUAAAACUUAGUUAAUUAAGGGUCAGUUUUUGGCUCCUAAGCCGUAUUCUUUUAUUGGGUAAAAGCGCGCUUAUUAGUUAGAUCUUUAAGUCUCCUUUAUUUUAGCAUCUAUACAUCCUGCAGAAAUCUAGAAAUAAAUAGAAAAGUACAUGAUGAGAUGAGGUUAAUCAAGGCACUCAUUCGGUUUAACAUUUUCUUUGUUUCCACUCUGAUGCUGUCGCUCGCAAGCAGACGAGCGUGUUAUAAAAUAUCUGGUGGUGCGAAGAAUCAACGAACGGCUCAAAUUGGAGACGGAGAAAAUCACCAAAAUGCCACACUGUGCCCGUACUGGGCGCUGACCUCACGACUCUGACACAUUCAAUGCAUUAUAUCCCGUCCCAUUCUAUCUAAUGAACGGCCCACGUAGCUUUCUUAAUUUCGGCAGCGGGAGCGACGGUCGAGAUCAAACCUUCCAAAUCUGGUAAUUCAUAAUGCAACAGUGAUUAGCCGAGGAUAUAUAUAAUAAUUAACUAAUACUUGCGGAGGAAAGAGCAUAGCAGCUUUCAAUUUUACUUCGGCGCCUUUAAUCAUGUAUCACAUCGCGCAGAAAGCAGUGGGUCUCUUGUCCAACGCCCCCUCUUAUUUUCUUCUCCAUAAAUAUGUUGUUUUAUUUGUAGAAAAAAUCAUCCAUGGUAUCUUCGGGAAACAGAAAUAAUAUUCGCGAAGAAGGAGCAAGCGUGAAAAAAAAAACAAAAACAAAACAUUUAAAAUAAAAGGGCUUGUCUACUGUUGUAUUUUCUCCCUAUAUUUUUUUCACAAUGAAGGAUCUUGUAGAUGCAAAAUCCAUAACUAGAAGUUGAUGAAUGUGCGUUUUGACUGCUUAUUGUUAUUGAACCACCGGCGCUUACAACAAUUAGAAGAUCCUGAAUUUGACUAAAAUGCUAGCUAAAGAUCAAUUUAGUAAUUCAAUUUAUCAAGACAAAUCGGGAACAGGAACCAAACAUUUUCGGAAACCUGACUGGCCCGAACCAAACAUUGUACUCUGUGCAUGGUUUUCUCUCCUUUUUUUUUUUUUCUUUUCUUUUUUUAAUUUGUUGAUGGGCUCUGGAUAUUGGAUAAUGUUCUCCUGUUGGACCAUUCACCUCAUAUAUAGUUGGCUCCGUCUAAACAUGGUCCGAAAAUGAGCAAAACUAUAUGCACAUAUAAAAUAAUAAUAAUAAUAAUAAUAGUAAAUAAAAUGAUGUCAAUUAAUGUUUGAAUGCCAGACCUUUCAUAUGCAUUUCAUUAGCGAGGUAAGCUCGCAAUUGUUGUUAUUAAUACUGAUUAAAUUGGUGGCACAGGCACACUCAUGAUGUUCUACGUUAAAGUGUUAUAAAUUUGGAUUUGAGGACUAGAUAUAGACUUGCAUAAAUGCCUAACCCACUAGCGAAGCAAAAGAAGCUUAUAUGAGUUCCUGAGAUGGGGAGAUUCUACAUAUAAAAGUUGCGUAUUUUAAGCUGCAACAAGAAGGUUCGACCAAAUGAUGAUCAUGACCAUUGUAUCUGAAAAUAGAAAUAGGUGUGUUAAUUAGGAAGCAUAAAAGAUCAGUUCAUUUCCAGUGGCUAUGAGGGAAGCACCAACUAGUAUAUCAGCUCGAUCAGUCGCUCUCUCGGCCGUCUUCUUCCUGCAGAAAGGUUAAUGAAAUGGUUUAAAUUAAAGGAGAGCCACUUAAUUAAUUAGAAGUUCCUUGGCAACUUUGUAAUUGCAAAACAUUUGUCAGUGAUUUGACAAAAUAAUGAAAUAGAGACUCGUUAAUUCUGAGCCAUUAAUUUGUCUUCCGGUUGAUUUGUAAGUAUUAAUAGUGUCAAAGUUAUACGUGGCCGUCGUGGUUCACGUGGCCUCAGGAGCAAACACAGAGAGAGAGAGAGAGAGAGAGAGAGAGACUCGUUUUCAAUAAAUAGGUUGAUGCUUAUCUCUUACGCUCUUUUUCCUUGCUUCCAUACAUAGAUCUCGCUAUCCAUCCCCCGUCGCCCGUCGCUUCCCCCUCUUAUCAUCUAAUGCGAGUGGGCUCGAAUCUCAUCAUUCCAUAUAUCUACAACCUAUGCAUAUAUCAUGGUGAGAAUCGAGCCGUUUCCGUAAAUUCGGAAAUCCAGAAAAACUGGCCAUCCAGAGCACGCAAUUCUCCCUUCUCAAUUUCACUUUUCUGAGUUAUGACUGCAGCGAAUUUUCUAUGUUUCAAAGAUUAAUAAAUAUGUAGGGCUGUCACUUGUCAGCAGUUCUUUUCUUCUUAAUUUUCAAAAUUCGACGCCCAACCCUUUCUGAAAGGGCCUUUCAUCUCGCUAUCGCUAUUCAAUUUUUCGACGGGACUCGAAUUUAAGACCGCGCACAAAUUAACCCGCCUAGUUUCCCUAGCUAUUAUUGGACUAGUAGGAAUUUGGCUUCGAUAUAUAUUCUCUGUAAUUCAACGCGAGGAUGUAUCGCUUUGCAUGUAAAUGAUUGAAUUCUCUCUAUCAACUACUAGUACAGGAUUGAUUAUAAUUCACGUGAAUACUGUUUCUGAUGAUGAAAAUUCAUUAGCAGAUCUUUUGGGUAGAAGCUACUACAAAGUACCAUAACAUUCAUGACGUGAGGUGCCUGUUGUAAUUUGUUACAGUAAAUUAAGAGAUUUAUUUCGAUCUAAACUACAGUAUCGAGUGACAUGCAUGUCAGGUGGUCCAGAGAUGAAAUCCCAAAAUUUUCUCUGUUCUCGUCUUAUAUAUUUCCCCUUCGUUGCUCAAAGAGGAAACCCCAGAGCCUCGUUGCAGCCACACUGUCGCUUAGUGCCAGUUUUUACCGAGCACGGAAGCAAUUCACUGGUGAGAUUAAUCGCGAAGAGCAUGUACAGACAAAUUUACUUACCCAACGUUUUCCCCGAAAAGGUGGGAGCGAGUUUCACUGAAAUGUAUUUUCUGACCCGAUAAACAUGUUUUUUUUUUAUAUAUAUAUUCCUUUAAAGAAAUUGAUGGCAAGCUGCUAUCUGCUUUAUUUAUUAGGAGAUUAGUUUCACUAAAUUCGGAUUGGACCAAGCAGCUUGAGUGAAUUGUCUGGGAGUAGUUUUGGUAGAUCACAAGCUUGGGAUUGGAUCACGUAGCUUGAGCAAGCAGUUUGGGGGAUCAAAAUGCGCGGAGACACACAUACACACACAGGGUCUCAAUAUGUUAAUUGCUUGCAUCUGCAAAUUAAUGAAUCAACAUGAAGGGUAGGCGGUCUAAAACAUAUAGAGAUAUUUCGGUACAACUGAAGCGUCAAUACCAUCCAUUUCUCUCAUUCAACAAUUUUAACCAUCAAUUUUUUGGAUUUUCGACCAUAUGAUCAUGAGAAGACAUAAGCAUCUGUACAAGUAUAGUAAUCUCUUCUGGAUUCAGCACGUUCAUUUGUACGGAAACUAAGUGGUGGCAAAUAAUUACUAACUUCUUUCUUUCUUUCUUUCUUUCUUUUUUUUAAAUCUCGUGUGAGGAGUAAAUAGGAGCCCACCAUCAAAGUGAGCGUGUACAAUUGGAAUCACAGCCUCGCAGGUUUAGAUAAGGGCCCGUGUGGAUCAUUGCGAUGUGGUACGGGGAUCAAAUUGGGCCAUGUAUUUGCUUAUGCAGUCCACCAUUACUUGGGCCCACGCGUUUGAGCAUAUCCAUCCGGGGUCAGCACACCACAACUGGGCAUCAUCUGAUUCGGUGGGGGUCGGGAGUGGGCUGGAUCCCAAUCCCAACUCUCUCCAUAAAAAACGUGACGCAUUUUAUGAUUGGUCCAAAUUUUACAAGAGCCAAUGAGACGUUGUUCCUUACUACAAAAGUUCGUCACAAAGCAUACACGGGAAUGACGUUUUGGUUGUCCAGGAAACGCACCAAUUUUUGUUUGGUGCUAGAGUUUAUAUUUAAUAGGUCUUAGACUUGACGUCUAGCAUUUAGUAACGUUACGCUUGUUUUUAGAAAGAAUAAAUUGAUGCCGACGACACUUGGCCCGGUUUCAAACUUGGAGAUUUCAACAUGCCUUCGAAAACAAAAAAGGAAAAAAAAAAGGAAAAGAAUAUAUAAGGUGUUUGCAAUGGUGGGAGUGGGCGAGUCUCAGUCACAUGAAAAAUAGAAUUUUUUCGUUUUGCAAUGGUCCAACCCAUUUUCGUACUCACGAGAAGUGAAGUAAAGGCCCAUUUAAGAAAUUAGUUUCCUUCGGUCCAAUACUUUAUCUGGACCCAAAAAGCCCAAAACACCCGCGCUAUGGGCCUCAAGCUAAAUACUUAACGGCCCAUCAUGUUAAUACGGCGAUUCCAGUUGUGCCACCACCGAAUUCAGCGCUGGAAUAGGGAGGAAGCGUGUUUCGGCCCCCUCACGACUAGCCAGCUACCGCAGAAAACUGAAACAAGUCGGCACCGUAGUAUGCUCCGUCACCGACUUCAGCGCCAUUCUACUUAGGAGCCUCCCUCGACCUCUCCCCUUCGACAUGCGUAAACCUGUGAGCAUCGUCGUCUCGUGGGAAAGAGACGGUGCGAUUGAGCGCUAGGUUUCAUCCGGCUCUUACCAGGUAUCGCCACUCCUCUUCGUUC